This 83025-nucleotide long non-coding RNA is filed under the name Gossypium barbadense (sea-island cotton). RNAcentral's name for it is "long non-coding RNA (GBAR_LNC009560)". Lineage: Eukaryota; Viridiplantae; Streptophyta; Magnoliopsida; Malvales; Malvaceae. The record is from RNAcentral.
AAAGCCCAAAACUCGUAAUUCCCGUCAUAAUUUGAUCCAGAAAUUAUGCUCGCACAAUCUUCACUAAAACUAUCAUAACUUGAGCUCCCAAACUCGAAAUUGAGUGAUUCAAAGUGAAUUGCAAAGUUAAGAGAUAUAUAUUCUAUCAAUAGGAGGACAUAUGGAUCUAGAAAUGCCUAGAUCCCUUCCAAAAAUGCACGCAAGUUGACUAUUUGUCACAUGGCUAGGCGUGUGGGUUUGAUUGAGGUCCUUGAAAUGCAACGUCUAGACUUGUUAACAUCUUCCACAUGAGCUUGUCAUCAUAGAUUGGAAUUUUAAGGCCACGAACAAUAUUAGCCCUUUCUAAUUUAUCCUCGCUCCAUAUUAAACUCCAAAAUCUAUCAUCUUGAAGUUUCAACUCUUCUUUACGAUUUUUUUUUUUGUGAUAAAGUCUUGAACGAAUAAGUUGAGUUUUGACUUGAACUGCCUGAAUUUAGAUCCUUGAGGGAAACUAAGCUCAUCUCUAUCAUGACAUUUUAAUUGGACCGGGCUACUCGUAUCACCUAUAUAGUAUUAUAAUUUAUAAAGUAAAAGGCUAAAAUUUUAUUUAAUUGACAUGAAAUAAGUUCUUUUGAAAUAUCUUCUACUUGUAACAGUUUGUGCCUCUUAAAUUAUUGAAUGGUCUAGCUUAUUAAAGUACAUGAUGUAUGGUGUGGUGACUGCUCACCUUAUCUCAUAAUUAUAAAGUUGGGGGUUCGAUCCCCACCUAUAGGAAUGGAGUUCAUUUCAUGGCCAACUAUUUUACCUCUUUGGAGAGCAUCUACGACAAGAGAAUUAGACACUAUUAUCGAUAGUAGACACCCUAAUUUUGAAAAAAAAUUACUAUAAUUGCCUCAUUAAUUGGAGUAGUACACGGUCUCCAAGUGCUGCUUUGCCAUGGAUUGAGGAUGUACAGGUAUAUAUGGAUGCAUGAUAACAGUGACAUCUUAACGGUUAAAAACUGUUAAAAUAUGCUAUGCUCUGACAUGAUGGGGGAAGAUUUACAAUGGCAACGGACAUGACGAGUUACAUGGAGAAUCAAGAUUGGAUCCGGUGGCUGCUAGCUCAUUUGUUCAUAGAAAUGUUGAACUUCACGCAGCAAACCAUUCAGACAUAUGUAUGCGGUUCGGAAACAAAUAGUUUUGCCACAACCCUUGAAUAUACCAAUAGGCUAUAAGGUCAAUUCUGACGUUGCCCAAUAGGACACAUGAUGGACGGUUGCCGACACGGUAUCCAAAGGAAUCGGCGCUGCCGUGUAAAACAUAGCUGUUUAGUAAAGUUGGAUCUUAUAAAUGUGCCUCAACAUGUCUUUGUUUUUGUGGUUGAAGUUCAAAAUAUCUUUAUAACUCUUUUAAAAAAAAUAAGGUUGCUCUUUUUUUAUUAGUUUUGUCUAAAAUAUUUAAAUUAUGGAUUAAUAUUUAUUACAUUAAUAAUAUAUUUUUUAAUUUCACAUAUUAAAAAAUUAAUCAUGUAUUUAAUUUUAUAUAUUGGUUUAUUAGUUUUUCGCAAUUUACAAGCUCGUUUAAAAGGAUAAAUACUAAUUAUUAAUUUUAAAAUUACUUUAUACUUAAUUCUCUUAAUAAUGAGUCAAAUAUUUAUUUUUAAUACAUGAUAAAACACUUAUUAUCACUUUUAACACAAAAUUCACCGCAUAUUUUCCCUUAAACGAUUGGAUGUGUGAAUUGUGAUAGUCCACAAUCUGUUUUUCACAUGGCCACAGUGGAAAAGUUAAUUUCACAACACAUGGUUAAACUAUACCUAAAGUCGUUAAACUAUUAAAAAAUUUAUAUUUUAGUCACUCAACUUUAAAAAAUUAUAAAAUGGUUAUUAAAUUAUUAAAAAAAUUUAUUUAAAUCACUAGAUUGUUAAAAUCAUUGUUUUAUGGCCCUUUUUGUUCACACCUUUUAUACCAAUCAAAAGCUCUCAUUUCUCUUCUCUUCUAUAGUUCAAUUUUUUUCAUAAAAUAAAUUUAAACAUCACAAAUUUACGAACCAAAAUUUAAAUGGCUUUUUUUAUCUCCAAUACUGGCCGUCAAACCGACUUAAAUUUAAAUAUGUUCUUUUAUUCGUUGAUAAAUAUUAAUCCACCAUACCAAUUGUCAUUUAGAGUUCACUAACUAAAUUUUAAAAAUACAACUUAACAGUAUAGUGACUUAAAUAAAAAUUUUUAAAUAAUUUAGUGAUUAUUUUAUAAAUUUUUUAAAUUAAUUGACUAAAACUUAAAAUUAUUAAUAAUUUAGUAACAUUAGGCGUAAUUUUUUUUUUCAUUUUCGCCCUCUUAUCAAGUCAUUUAAAAAUCGAAAUGUCGUAAUCAAAAUUAAAGCAAAAAUAAAUCUCAUUUCAUCCAUUAGAUAUUUUGGCCGUUGGAUCAUUCGGUCAUUCUAUCGUUAAGAUAGAUAUGUAAAUAAAUGCACUUAGAUACUCACUGUAUCAUAACUUGUAGUUGAAAAAGGAAAAUAGAAGGGAACAAAAAGGAACAUUGAAAGUUUUCCUUUAAAGAAGCAGCGAUGAGUUCAGCUUCUUCAGUACUUGUCGCUUCUUCAUCGUUUCUAUAUUGGAUUCCUAAGCCUUCUCCUUCUAAAUUCUCCAAAUUCCCGUCAACUCCUUCCCUUACUCCGUCUUCUCCGCCGUGUUACCGUGUGGUGUGCAGUGGCGGAUCCCCUCAACCGGCAUCGUUCCCCGAUCUCAGCUUCGCCUUGCAUGAUGCUCUCGAAUCUACUGGAAUCGAUGCCUCUCAUGCUAGAGUAACUACUACUACUCUCUCUCUCUCUUUCUCUGUUCUUACAUGAUCUUUGAUUUUUUUUUUUCAGUUUUAGGAUAUGAGUUUCCUUCUUUUUUGGUCUUAAUUGUGAAGAGUGUCUAAUUAUAGCAAUUUUGCUCGAAUCUUUUACUUUCAGUUUGGAAACAUGAUAUGAUUCGAGUUAGUGUCCAUGACUAUGAUGGAAAUUUCCUUUUCUUUUUCCUGAUAAAUCUUAAUCGAAUUGUGUUCUUUAAUUCUAAAUUUGGAGAGAUUUUUAUGUGAAUUGAGCCUCCUUAGUACGAUUGAAGAAUUUCAAUUAUGGCUAUUUGAUCCUUUUUUAUGGAUUAUUUUGGUAUGAUACCAUUUUUUUUCAGUUAUAAAUAAUUAUGUUAUCUGUCAGGAAUUGAUGUACUUAUGGCGAUUUUUGUGCUUGGUGACCUAUAUAUAUGUUUGGUUUAAAAUUCAAUUACUCAAGUUUUAGUUUGUUCAAUUUAAUUUUGUUUAAGUAAAGAGAAAAAAGCGUGCAAAAUAAAAUAAAAUCGUUUUGGAACGUUUGUAGUGGUUUUAAAUACAGGUCUGAAAGAUGCACUACAACACUUUCGAUUCAAAUUAAUUUUUUAUCUUGGGGAGGAUGGUACUUCGAAAGUAUGUCCUGGUUUUAUAUUCGAGUCCAAUGGGAUUUUUUACCAAAAAAUCAAAUAAUAAUUGAGAGCUUAAGUGCGAUGAGAAUUUUAGUCAUAUGUUAAUCUAACAUUGUUUUUUUUUUAAUUGAUUUUUGAACAGGAGGCGAGGAAGAGUUUUGUUUCGCAGAUUCAAAAGUUAUCUGAUAUAGAGAGAGAAACAAGUAUCUGCAUAAAUAGAUGUGUUGAUCUGGGGAGAACAUCUCUUUAUAUAGCAGCAGAGGAUGAUUCUCUCAUGUCACAGUCUUCCGUUCCUCUGCCGGUGGAUGCAUUCCUCGAAAGAUUGGAUGAUCUCUCAAUGGGCUACUGCUCCCACUAUAACUCAGUAUGUAGGUCGUCAAGGCAGAAUUUUUUGGAGAGCAUAGAAAAAUAUCUAUAUGUCAAAAAGGUACUAUCUAAUUUUUACUCUUUUAAGUUCAAGGAAUUAUGCAAAAUUUAUGUAAUGAAUUUUCUUCUUCAUUAAAUCUCAGAUUUGCAGAAUGUGUCAUAAUGACGUAGCCUCUCUGUGCUUCACUGGUUGUAUAUAUGAGAUGAAACAUUUUGUCUCCUUUAGUUACUAAUUGAUCAAAUUCUUUGAACUUCAGUAACUUGGUUGCUUAACUGUUUACUUAAUCUUUUUUCUUUUUCUAAUUGGUCAAUCCAUUCACUUCUUCUAAGGGCUUCCGAAGAUCUACUGCCAAUAAUCAAGCAGAGCCACAAGCCCUUGAUCUUCACUCGGUAUGAAAUUUGCCUUCUAGUGUAUGACUCUAUACUCUUUUCAGAAGGGUGUACCAUUUUGUAGUGUUUGUUUUGUUAAAUAAUCUUAUGUUUGAGCAGGUUUUGACACAUCGUUCGGGUUCUGCUGUAAUGCUUUCACUGAUACAUUCAGAGAUUCUGAAAAUGCUUCGCUUGUGGGGCCUUCUGGAUUUCGAUGUUGAGAUUUUUUUUCCACAUGGUCUUCCUAGAGCCUAUGAUAAGCAAAAGAGCAAAGAGUCUGAUCAGCCACACAUAAUGACCGUAUAAAUGCUAUUGGAGGAGGUGACUUUUAUACUCGUGAACUUUUUAUGUUCUUUACUUCUUACUAUUUUAAUAUUAAAUCCUGGCUGAAAUGAGAAAAGAAAACAAAUUCUAGUUAUUUAUUUUUCCAAUAAGUUUUUAUUAUAUCUUUGUCUUGUGCUUUUUCAGUUUUCUUAAUUGAUAUCAAAUAAUCAGACACAGACAGAAGGAACGUAAGUAGAAAAAAUAUAUAUCAGCUUCCUACAUUACAAAGAACCAAAGAAACCAAAAUGUUAAAUGAUUGCAAACUAUUUAAUUAAUUCUCUCCUUUCUCUUUUGCAAGUCUCUUCCCCUGUGUUUCAUAUGAAGCUAAAGGUGGGAUUUUGAGAUUUCAACAUCUAUUUAACUAAGGUCUUAACUGGCAUGCAAAUUUGGUAUACACUUUGUUUUUAAUCUAUAUGAAAAGUUCCAACAUGACAUCCCUUGUACGGGUAAGCUAAUCUUUUUCUUUUUUUGGGUAUUUGUGGGAGAUUUAUCUUCAAUACAUUCAAACUUUGACCUUUUUAUUUAAUCUAUUUCUGUUAUGGAUAUUGCAUUUUCUCCUCAUUUUGUAAUCUUUUACCUUUGGUUUUUGUUAUCUGUUCUCUGCUCAGAUAGUUUCAUGAUUGCAGAUUUUAAGAAAUUUAAAGGAUGCUUUCUGGCCAUUUCAACGUGGUGCUGCUGAUAGUUUAUUCUUAAGGGCCGCAAAUGCUGCUAACUGUAUAGAUAAAUUUAAUGGCUUUGAAGAUAGGUAUUUUAUCUAUAUUUCAAUUCUUUCUGUAUUUAGAUGUUAUUUUGGAGUUCUAGGUUAUGAUUUCACAUUUAUUUCAUACAGUGGCUAUCGGCUUGCAUCUGCAAAGGCUGCUCAACAUAGGCUAGAUCGGGGUGUCUGGACCAGUGUUCAUUUUGGGGAUAUGAGGCGUGCUUUAUCUGUUAUGAUUAGAUGGUGUUGCAUGAGUAAAUUCUUUUUUAUUUUAGCUAUCACAUAUCAAGAUCAAUAAAUGUAAAGAUAAUUGAAAUUUAUUAUUGUGCAUUCCUUCUCUCAUUCUCAUACCUUGCAACAGAAAGGGUUCAGAAAAUUAUUUGCACUAUUUCCAGUUUUAGCAUUUGGUCUUCCUUCUUUUUCGUGUCAGUUCAAAGCUUUUGGUUUCAGCGAUUAAGUUCAUUAUCCUUUUUCUCCGCUUUUGAAUUUCCUUUCUCAAACCUGCUUUAGGUAAAAUUUCGUCUUCGUUUUGCUCAUGAAGUUGUAUGGCUUAAUGCAUUUUGAUGUAAUGUCAAGGUUUAUGUACUUCUAUUAUGAUGAAAUUGUUACCAUAUUUCCAGCAUGUGAACGCCUUAUUCUUCUAAGAACCGAUCCGAAGGAAAUGAGAGAUUAUAGCAUUCUCCUCUAUCAUUGUGGAUUGUACGAGCAGGCUCUGAAAUUUCUCAAAUUGUAUCAAGACAUGAAGGUAAGUUUCAUGGUACACCUUAAUAUGCAACUUCGAACUCUGUUUUUAAGAAUUGGGACAAACAUGUUUAGUGAACUAUUUUCAGAGUUCUUCCGCACAAAAUCCGUCAACAGAUCCAGUUAGCAACCUAGAAGAAGAUACUGUGAAGAAAUUGAUUGUUCGUCUCAAUCUCAUUGCAAUGGAGGGAGGUUGGACCCGGCCAUGGUAUGUCAGAAAUUAUCUUGGCAAUAACUCUGAGCCAUGGUAAGACCUUCACACAUUUUCCUGUGGCGUUUUAAAUUUCAACAUUACCUUCUCCGAGAUGGAGUCAACUUAAGAGUGAGUUUACAGAAGUUCACAUGUCCCUUAACUGUGCAGUUUAGGAUCGUAACACGAGCCUGCACAUAGCAUAAGACGGAUUGAUCCGUCCUUAGGAUUCGACCUAGGCAUAUUGCAAAAUGAUGAAAUAAGGUAAUAGAUAAUUGCAUUUGGCAUUGGGUUCUAACAUAUGGUUAAUUUAGUAUACGAGUUUUUUAGGCUGCCUUAGUAGUAUUAUCUUAUCCCUGUACAGCAACAAAGAUUUUGUUUUGGCUUACCUUAAAUGGUUGUAAAUGAUUGUUAUUUGGACCUGUUGUGUAUUUAACAGAGUAUGAAAAUAGAAAAUAUGAUUACACACAAGCUAUUUUGGUUUGGUUAGCCCUUGUAGAGUUGAGUUUAAGGAAUUUGAGUAUUCUAAUGCUUCACUCAAAUAACUCCCCAACCAAAUUUAGGUUUUUAUUUUCAAAAUAUAUAUUUUGUAUUCUUUUAUUAGGAUUGUAAAUUCUCAAUGUAAGAAUCAAAGCACAAAUAAUUGAGCUUGAAUGCCAGCAAUGAUAUGGAACUUUAAACAAACUCUAACUCCGCAUGUUCAGGAGCUUGAAGCAUAUGUUAAAAUAUGUCAUAAGUUCAUGUACUUUUCUUAAAUUUGAAAUUUAGUUUUUUUCCUUUUUCAGAUUUUAAAAUUUAGGUCUAAUUGUUAACAAUGAUAAAAUUAUUUGUUAAAUUCAGAUUUAUCAUGUAAUUUUUUUUAGUUAUAUUGUUACCUUGCGAUUUUUUUUUUAAUUUCAAAAUAUCACACCACUAAAUUUAACAAAAAAAAUUUAUAGUGUUAACAAUUGGAAAGCUUCUAUCUCAAAAUAAUUUUAUACCCUUUUUUAAAUCUAUUUAUAAUCUCUCUUUAAUUUUUAAAUAAAAGAAAAAAAUAUAUUUCAACACAGUCAAAUUCAAAUUCAUGGUAAAUGUCAGCCGAUUUAGUAAAAAUGAUUAAUUCAAAUUAAUGAUUAAUAAAUGAUGUAAUUAUUUAUUUAAUUAAUAUGAAAUACUUAUUUCAAGUAAUAGUUUAAUUACAUUUUAAAAGUAUUUUAAUGGCAUUCUUAUCGGUGUUCAAUGUUCAUGGACUGGUAAUCAGGCUUAAUCAACAAGUAUUUGACAUUUGGAUUUUGAAUUUUGUUUGUAAAUAAUUAGACGAAAUCCGUUUUAAGUUAAUUCAUUUCUUUUGAUGAAAGAAAUUAAAAUAUGUGUUUUUUUUUAUUAUAAAAUGUCCGGGUAUUUUAUUGGAAAAAAAUAAAAGAAAACAAUUGGAGGCCCAACAGACCAUUGGACCCAGACCUGUUACAUCAAAAACUAAAAGCAAAUUCGGCCUCACUAUAAUGUUGAUAGUGAAUACCGCCUAACCAGCAAUUAAAAUGUAACUUAAUGGAAACGAAAAGCAAUAAAUGAAAAGGAAGAAAAAGGAACCUAAAUAUCUACCCCAGUCAGAUCAAACGGCUGGAUACCGUUAAUUUUCUCGAUUUGUCAUUUCAAAAUCCAAUCCAUUCUGACGAUAGCAGUUUCCGAGGAUAAGACUUUACUUUCUAUCUUCUUUUGAAAUCAUUUCCCUCAAACGCUCCAUCAGUCUGGAUUUAUUGGCCAUCUUCUCUUCGAAGCGAAAAUAUGGCAAUUCAGCUCUUCUCCCAUCAGGUAAAAUGUUUCUCCUCUAUCAAGAGCGUCUUUUGCUAGUCUAUGUGCUUGCAAGUUCCCUGAUGUGUGAAUAUGCUGAAAGAUAAUAUCUUGAAAACAAGGUUUCUUAUUCUGAAUGUCUCUGAUAAUAGCUCCAAUCACUAAUUUAUUUGUUAAAGUCAUUUGGCAUUUUUAUUAUUUUUUUGGAGUCCCUCAUAAGUUUAGCCGAUUGAACUCCCAGUGAGAUCCCUAACUUUGUGCCUUCUAAAUAUGCAUACGCUUCUGCUGCAAAUGGGGAGGAAAUAUUGUUGUGAAUGAUCAUCUUUAAAACCAGUAGUUCCCCCCUCAAAUCCCAACCCACCAAACCUAUCGCUAAUUUGAAGUUUCUACUAUCAAAUGUUGCAUCGAAAUGGAUCGUUACUCUCGAUAUGUCCUUCUGGAUUUUGUAAUUUCUGUUCAUAUUAACAGGGAUAUUCAUUACUUUCACUCCUUCAUAUUUUGCCAUAUGCCUAUGUACAUUUUGUGUUAAAACUCUUCCUGUUGUAUUUUUUCCCUCAUGCAUGAACUGAUUUCUGGAAAACCAUAUUAACCAUAAAGCAUAACAGAAGAGUCGGCAUUGAGCGUUGUUACCUCUCUUGAGUACCUAGGUUAUCCACUCCCAUAGACUUUAAUUCAUAUUAUUCAUGACCCAGGAUAAAUGUAAAAACUGCCAAACUUCUAUUGUUGUAGGACAUCCAUGGAAGAUAUGAAGGCUGUCUUUUGCCCAGGAACAGCAACGAGGACAUUAUCGUGUGAAAUGGCUUUUCUGUACCUGAGAAUAGCAAGAUUAGGAAUAAAAUCCUAGGAAAUUCGCCAAAUAGUGAUUGUGAUUUUUGAAGGUAGCUGUAGGCUCCAUAAUUUCCUGUAAAAUUCUUUAGUUUCGGUCUGUAAUAAAUAAUUACUAGGAUUCGAAAUAGCAUAUUGUAAUAAUUUAUAGGCCCUGUGUACUGAAUACUCGCCAGAUAAUUCUCCUUUCCAAACUUGAGUAUCCUCGUGAUCAGUCUCUGCAAGAGGGAUCUGUAGAAUUUUCUGAGCAAUUUUCGCUUGAAAGGUACUAUUAAUCAAAGCUAUCCUCCAUUUUCUGUUUGUAGUAUCAAUAAGAUCCAAGACUAACUGUAAUUGCCCAUUAUUUGAUCUGUUAUGUCCGUCAACUGUAUCGAUCCCCUAUAUCCAGCUAUCUUCCCAGAUAGAAAUUUUGUCCCCUCUGCCCACUCUCCAUUACAUCAUUUUUUGAAAAGUCCCUUUGCUUCCCAAAUACUCUUCCAGGUAAGUGAAGGUAAAUUUCUUAACUCUGCAUUUAGAAAACUUGAUUGUGGAUAGUAUUUUGCUUUUAAAACUCUAGCUAAUAAAGAAUUUGGAUAAUUAAUAAGGCGCUAACCCUGUUUGGCUAAUAACGCAAUAUUAAAUUGACCAAAAUUUCAAAAACCUAAACCACCAUUUUCUUUUAAGGAACAAAGGUUUUUCCAAAUGCACUAAUGAAUUCCCCUUUUUCCAUGUCCCUUCUGCCACUAGAAUCUCACAACGAUACUUUCGAGUUCAUCACAUUGAACUUUAGGUAAUAAGAAACAAGCCAUCGUGUAAGUUGGUAUAGCCUAGAGAAUGGCCUUUAUAAAUACUUCCUUUCCACCAUGAGAUAAAUACCUGUUGCUCCAAUUAUCAAUACGUUUUUUGAGUCGGUCCUUCAGAUUUUGAAAAGAUUCAUUUUUUCUCUGACCCACCAUAUUCGGCAACCCUAGGUAACGUUCUGGUUCAUUCGAACUGAAGACCCCCAAUAAAUUGACAACCAGUCUCCUGUCUUCCUUCGAUGUGUUUUUACUAAAAAAUACUAUUGAUUUGUUGAAAUUAACACAUUGACCCGAGCAAAAUUUUUACUCAUGUAGGAUGUCUUUGAAUAGAUUUACACCUUUGCUUGUUGCCUUUCCAAAUAAUAUGCAAUCAUCAGCGAAUAAUAGAUGGGAUACCUGUGGGCCACUUCUACUAACCUUAACACUUUUUAAGAAUCUUCCAUUCGUUGCUAGUCUCAGUAGGCUCGAUAGACCUUCGCCACAUAAAAGCAAUAAGAAUGGACUUAACAAAUUACCUUAUCUAAGUCCUCUGGUUGGUAGAAACUUAUCCUCAAUAUGCCCAUUGAUGACCACUAAAUAAGAAACAGUUGUUACACAUUUCAUAAGAGCAUCUACCCAAUUUUGAUCAAACCCCACCCGUAUCAUUAUCUUCUUUAUAAAAUUCCAUUCAACCCUAUCAUAUGCUUUACUCAUAUCGAGUUUAACGGCCAUAUACCCUUUUUUCCCCAAUUUCUUCUGUUUUAACAUAUGCAAUAUUUCAUAGGUUAAUAGCACAUUAUCUGAUAUUAAUCAACCUGGCACAAAGGCACUCUGCGCAUCAUCAAUAUAUUUUUCAAUAACUCUUCAAAAUCAAUUUGCUAUUGCCUUUUCCAGAAUUUUAUAAAGCACAUUGCAUAGGUUGAUCUGCCGAAACUACGUCAUAUUAGAAGGGCUGGUAACUUUUGGAAUAAGUACUAUAUUGGUAGAAUUAAUUGAACUAACCUCCAUAUCCCCAUUUUGAAUUCGUAAGCAAAAGGAGGUGAGUUCUUCUCUAACAAUAUGCCAACAUUUCUGAUAAAAUAAAGUUGAGAAUCCGUCUUCCCCUGAUGCCUUCGUAGGCUCCAUGUCGAAUACUGCUUCUGUAAUUUCAUCUCUUGUGUAUGUUGCUGUAAGUUUUUGGUUGUCUUCCGCAUAGACACAACACUCGAUCCCUGAUAACAGGUGGUCAUAGUUCCCCCUACCUUUUACCGAAAACAAUCUUUGAAAAUAAGAUCGUGCAACACCCUCUAUUUCUUGUAAGGCCACCAUUUCUCUUUUCUCUUCAUUUUGUAGCUUAUGAAUGAGAUUUGUCCCCAACCGUUAUGAUGUUUGACUGUGAAAAAUAUUUUGUUUUCAUCACCAAACAAUAAUAUUCAUCUUUUUCGAUCUCAAAUUUUAAAUUAAUUUUCGUAUCAAUCAACUCAGUUAAAUUCUCAUCAUCUCUUUCAGUUUCAGCCAACUCCGCUAAUUUUCCGUUAGGAUCUAUUUUUUCUUUUUCCUAUUUAUUUGAAUUUGCCCAACCCACUGCUUCAAGCCUUUUUUUAAAUUGUCCAGCUUCUGUAACCACUCCCCUGAAGCUUCCUCCUACGAACACUUAACUUCAUUAAUGAAAGACUCCUCUAAUGACCACCAAGCUUCAAAUUUGAAAUUAUUGUUCCUCGAUCAUUCUUCACACGUUCUUGUAUUAAUAAGAAGAGGGCAAUGAUCUGAAAACAAAUGCACUAAAUGUUGGACUUUCACAUCUAGAAACAUAUCAAUCCAUUCUGUGUUGGCGACACCUCUGUCUAAUCGUUCUUGUAUGUUCGUCUCCGGUAAAUUACCUCUCUCCCAAGUGAACUAGUUACCAUAAAAGCCCACGUCAUUCGGUUGACAUUCCUCUAGUAUUCUUCGUAAGAGUUUCAUCUUUUUUUCAUCUCUAAGCAGCCCUCAUUUGUUUUCGAAUCCAUAUAUAACUUCAUUGAAAUCUCCACAAACAAACCAAGGGGUAUCCACAUCAGUAGCUAAGCUUUUCAAAACAGCUCAUGAAUCGUUCCUAUCUUGCGCAUAUAGGGGAUCCAUAGAAUCUUAUAAAUCCCCAAUUGGUUCCUUCUUCCUUAUCUUCAAUUACCACAUUGUGUCUUUUAAAAAAAUUACGGAUCAUUAUAUUAACAUCAGUCAUCCAUGCUAGACACAAUCCUCCUCUCGUACCUUCUGAGUCAACUUCAAUACCAUUCGCAAAACCACAGCUUCUAUGAACUCGUUCCAUCUGUUGUCUACUAAGCUUUGUCUCCAUAAAGAAGACUAUUUGGGGAUUAUAUAUCUUCAGCAAAUGUCGAAGUCUUUCAAUCAUCCAUUGUCUCCCCAAACCACAGAUAUUCCAACUUAUGAUUUUCAUUGCCCCUAGUUGGCUUGCCUCUUGGCAGCCGCCGAUGAUAAAAUAUUAAAUUCCACCAUUCUUCUAUUCAUUGUCAUUGCAUUACCACUCUCUUCUUUUCCUGUUGGAUCUUCCAUCUCCCCCCUGUUUCACCUUUUCCCCUCCUCUCCUAUUAAGAUAUCAUCUUCCAAAUCAGGCUCUAUAGCCGUUUGCAUCUGAUUGGACCAAGAUUUCUCCUUCCGUUGAUCUAGAGAUGAUACCCCCUUCUAUGUUAAAACCCAGAAUUGGAUCAAUGGCUUUUCUGCUUCUUUCUUUCUUGUCCCAAUCCCAUGAUCUGAACCCCAAAACCCGAUUAUCCAUCCAACUUCCUUCCUAUUUUCCUUCACAUUCUUCUCAUAGCCAUAUACUAUUCAUUGAUAGGGCUCUUCGAAAUUGUGCUAGCAAUGAUAAAUCCUAACCCAUUUCAAAAAUAUUCACCCUUAACAUCAUUUUUGCCUUACAAAAAGAGUCACUGUGUCCCAAACGUCCACAAUAGAAAUAGAAAAGCGAUAAAUGUUCAUACUUAAAUUUAACAUAUGAGCAUAUCCCACAACACAUAACCUGCUUCUUUCUUUUCAAGGGCUUCCUAAUGUCAAUCUGUACCCUUACCCUCAUAUGAUUACGAUUUUUUUCUCCAGGUUUGAACCAUCGUACUCCAAGAAAACCCCUAUAAAAUUACCCAGUUGUAUUGUUAGAUUUUCAGAAAAUAGCCCUAUUAGGACGUCAUGAAUUUGUACUCAGAAAGGGGUAAAAAUUAAUGGUGCUUUUAGUGGAUCCUCUCCCCUUUUCAAUUUAUAAAGUAUCAACAAAUGAUUAUUGAAAGUCCAUGGUGAACCUUUCAAAACCCUCUCUAUAUCCAUACUAUGAAAAAACUGAAAAAGAUACAUUUUUUCCCCUAGAUCUCAGAAUUGGACCCCACGAACAGGAUGACACAGGUUUGCUAUAGUGCUUUUCAUAGCUGGGUAGUGAAUUAUACUGGCUGUUAAGAAACAUCCCAUAAGCUGAAAUUCUCCCACUUCUCUUUUCGUACUCGGAUAUACCUGAAUCUGCAAGAUUUUUUCUUCUUCUUCAUUGAGCGACAAUUGUGCUAAUUUAGUUUCCAUGAAUGCAGGUCUGAAGGCCAGAACACGAACACCACUCUUCAAAUCAUAGAAAUAAAAUAGCCUGAAGACGCCGACUGCAACUGAUAAACAAAAACAAAGACUAAAACAAGAAAAACCUAAAAACUCAUGCCAGAGGCGGCAGACAAUAGCGUGCUAGGGUAGCAGACUAUGAUCAAAGUAUAUUUUUUAUUUGAGGUCUAAUUUUAGAAUAGAGCCUUUACGUAUUAAAUAUAUGUUUAUUUUUAUUCUAUUAAGUUUGACAAUUUUUUUUAUAGAUAGAAUUUUAAUCCACUUAAUGUGAUAUAAAUUAAUGAUGUAUAAAAAUAAAAAUAGAAAUAAUGUAUUAUAAAAUUAAAAAAUAUUAAACUUGAAUCACGGGAGCUAAGUGAAAUGAUAAGGAUCUCUCCUAUCUUAAUCGACAAUUGAGAGUUUGAUUCUCGCAUUGAGUAUGGAACAGAUGCAGUUGCAAAACUCAUAAUCAACGUCUACUCUUUUAGUGAAUUUAUAAAAUAGAAGGAUCAAUCAUUAGAAUCACUUAAGUGGAUACCUUGAAAAACUAAAAAAGAAAAUAUUGUACUUGAACCUCCAAUGAUUUACCAAGGUUAGGCUCAUUUUUAAAAUGGGUCUAUCAUUUUUUUUUUCAAGUUGAUUUUUUUGUUAUAUUUUUGAUUAAAUUAAUUAUUUUAUUUUAUGUUAAACCAUAAAAUUAUAGAUGAAUUUUGAUUUAACAUGUAAUUUGCUGUGCAAAUUUUAAAAUCAUGUAUUCAUAUAUAUGAAACUUUUAUUUUUAUUCAAUUGUAUAUGUACAGCCCAAUUUUGGCCCAGGCCUAAACAAACCUUAACCCACCUAACCACUAAGCCAAACCCAUCAGACCCAAUUACAAAAGCCCAAAACCAACUAACCCUAGCCCACUAGCUAUCAAAAAUUUUCAGCAAGCAAACAAACCCUAAUCCCCCUCUUCAGCCACCGCUCUUCACCAGCAAGGCCACCACGCGCACCUCUUCGUCAGUCUCUGACAACCACCUGCAACACGCAAGCAAAAGACGGCAAAUAGAAUAAACAAAUAACAAAGAGACAAAAAAAUAGAAAGAAGAAGAUGGUAGUUUCGGCUAUAAAAGCCAUGACAUUUCAAUGUAUUUUUCCUUCUUCUUUUUUUGGAUACAAAAAUCAAUAAAAAAAAAACUAGAAAAGUUUAAAAGGUGAUAUUCGUUUGAUUUUCUGUUGAUUUUCUUUUUACUCUCAAGUUUUAUUUUGUUAUUUUAUUUUUCUUUUAUUUUUACCAUCGAAAAUAAAAAAGGAAAAAGAGAAAGGUAACCUCACCUUGAUCUUCCCACGGACUCAUCGCCGGAGAUCUCUUCUCCAAUCGCCGAAGUCGAGCCAAAGGGGGAGGGAGGACCUUUCUUUCGAUUUCUUUGGGGUUAAGAAGGCAUGGCCUUCGAGUGUGCCUCAAAACGAGGCUAAAAAGCCCAUCUCUGGGCUUUGCAGCCACCGGGUACGGUGGUGGUACGGCGGGCGGUGAGGAAGCCCGAUCGGCUGGAGCAAAAAGGGUGAAGUGAGGGCUUGUGAGGGUUUUGAAAAUUAAAAGAAAAGAGGAACCAGCAGAAUGAAAAAGAAGGAAUUUUUUUUGGUCUUUAAAUCAUUUGAAACGGUGCCGUUUGUUGGAGUGGGGGUUUGUGCAUUUUCCCUAAAUGAGAGAUUUCGCGAUUAGUCUUUCUCAUUUGCAACUCCAUUCGAUCAGGUCCCAUUUUCUGUUUUCUUUUGUUUUUUUAAUUUAGCUCUUAGAUUUCAUUUGGGUUACAUUCGGGUCCUUUGAAACAUUGCGCAUAGAGGGCUGGGAACAUUUUCCCAAUCAGUCCCUCGUUCUUUAUACGCGUUUCACUUCAGUCCUUAGUGGCCUGUUUUUUUUAUUUACAAUUUGCAUCUUAAAUUUUAAUUAAAUUUCAGCUUAGUCCUAAUCUAUUUAAUUUGUUCAUUUAUUUAUUAUUUCAACUUUUUAGGAGCUGUUUUACUGUUAGUUAUUUUAAGUUUGUUCAUCUUACAUUAUUUAUUUAGACCAUUUUAUUAUUAGUUAUUGUAAUCCUUUUUACGUCUUAUGUAUUGUAAAUUGUUAUAGAUUUUAAAUAUUUUUACAUAUAUUAUUUUUUUUAAUUCCUAUACAUAUUACUUAUUUUGAAAUAUUUUUUUACGUUAUUUGUUUUAUAUGUAUUUUCCAUUUUAAGUUUCUUUUCAUACUUUAUUUGGUUACACUAUUCUAAUCGUUUAAAAUUUAUUUUUUUAAUUUCCCAUAUAUUAUUUAUUUUAAUAUAUUCUUUACUUUAGAUUAUUUUAUAUAUGUUCUAUUCUAAAUUUUCAUGUAUAAUAUUUAAUUUAAACUGUUUUAUAUAUUUUGUUUAUUUAUUAUUUAUAUAUAUAUAUUUUAUUUUAAACAAUUUAUAUAUAUUAUUUAUUUUAGGUUUUUUUUUUUACAUAUUAGUUCUUUUAAACUAUUUUAUGCAUUAUUUAUUUUAAAAUCGUUUUGUAAUAUUCAUUUCAAAUUGUUUUAUUAUACAUUGUUUUAAGUUAUUUUAUACUUUUAUUUUAAGUUUUUCGCAUCAGUUAUUUUAAACUCCUUUACAUAUUAUUUAUUUUAAAUAUUUUUAUAUGUUAUUUACUUUAAACUAUUUUUUUAUAUGUGAUCUAUUUUUUUAUACCAUUUUAUAUGUAAACUACUUUCAAAUACUUUUUAUUAUUCAUUAUAAACCUUUUUAUUAUUAUGUAUUUUAAGAUUUCAUGUAUUAUUUAUAUUAAACUAUUUUAUGCACUUUUUUCAUAUACUGUUUGUUGUAAAUUUAUCUUAUUUUAAAGCCUUUUAUAUGUUAGUUUGAUUUGUUUUAUCUUAAGUUGCUCUAGGUAUUAUUUUAUUGUUUUGAAUAUUAAUGAUUUUUAAAUUGUUUUAUAUUAUUUAUUUUAAAUUGCUUUUAUAGUAUCUAUUCUAAACCUUUAAAUAUAUACAUAUAUAUAUAUAUACAUAUUAUGUAUUUAAAAUAUUCUUAUUAUUUGUUUUAAGUUGUUUUAUAUUAUGAUUUCAUUUUUAUGUUUAUUAAUGUUGAUAUUAAAAAUAAUGUACGUCGUGUGAAUAUUGCCAUUACAUGUUAUUGAAAUUAUUUAUUUAACAUCCUCAUAUUGUUGACAUUCAUUAACUUUGCAUUUGAUUCGCGUUUUAUUAUUCCAUGCUCUAUGUUAUAUUUUUGUUUUUUUUCAUUUAAAUAGCAUCGUGUAUAAAGUUCGAACGUAUUCAUCCAAUAUAGAUCGUUUCGUUUUUAGUUCAAACAAAAUAAUGCACAUUGUUAAAUGCCAUGCUCGUUAUUAUUCAAACGAAAAAUCUUCAAAAUAAGGCAAUAUUUUGCAUUUUGGGAAUUCGAGAAAUCAUACCCUAACUUACGGGGUUUCGAUUUUCUCGUUAAACCUAAAUGGCCAAAUAUCCUUUUAAAUUCCAGAACACAUGAAAUUUCAAUUAAAAUUAAAGACAAACUUGCGCUCGGGAAUUCAAAGUAUCACGUCCUAACUUACGGGAUGUGAUACUCCUAUAUCUCGAGAUAAGGAAAUCUUUAGCAAUCAUUUUGAUCUAAUUCAGUUUUUUUUUAAAAUCGACGUUAAUAAAAAAGGGGAUCGUAUUUUAAAUCCAUGCUUGAUUUUUCAACUUUCGACAUUAAGACACUAACUAAUCAAUUCGGUACCAAUUUUGGGUGUGACGAGGGUGCUAAUCCUUCCUCUCACGUAACCGACUCCCGAACCCGUUCUCUCGAGUUUCGUAGACCAAAAAACAUCGUUUUAGUAAACCAAAGCGUUUUAUUAAAACAAAGGUGAUCUGAUCACACCCAAUAAAGAUCGGAGGCGACUCCCAUUUUAAUUAUCACUUUCUAACAAAGUCGAUUCCCCUUUUCAAAAAAAAUGAUUUCGGCAGUAUACAUAAGAAAUAAAAACAUCUAUUUGUUUUAUAUUGGAUAAAUAAAAUUAUUUAUGCAUACAAAAUAUGUAAGCCAAAAUUGUGUUGUAUCGAUAAUUAUGUUAGUAAUUGUGAAAACUGAAUUAAACCAAAACUUUCAAGUAUAAAAUUGAACAAAAUCAAAGUUAAUAUAUAACAUUGUACACUGAAUCAAAAUUCAUAUGUAAUUUUGAGAUUUAUUAUUUUGUUUUAUUUUAUUUAAACUUUAGGCUUUGUUUAAUUUCAGAAAACAGAGGUCAUUUUCAUUUACAUUUUUUUGAAAAAUGAAAAAUUCAAGAAAACAUGUUUGGUUACAAAAUUUUAAAAUGAUUUUUGAAAAAUAAAAAUAAUAUGUAAAAAAAUAAAAAAAAACAAAAAAAACUAUUUUAAUUGUUUUUACUAAAAAUACUUUGCAAAACUAAAAGUGAUGACAAUAAAAAAUUUUAACUUUAAAUACAUUAGUUUUUUUAAAUUUUCAAUAUGGUACUCGUAAAUAUAAUUUUUGUACCAAACAUGUUUUCAAUAACAAUUUUUCUUUUUACUUACCAAACAUUAUUUUUUUAAUUUUAAAGAAUAAAAAAUGAAAACUAUAAUAUUUUUUUGUAAAAGUUAUAAAUUAGACAAAAGAUUUUAUCACAUGCUAUAUGUGUGGAAACCAAUGUGUUUGAAAAUAACAUGUUUUUAAACUAAUUAAUAAUACACCACGUAUUUAGAACACAGAGUGUUUGAAAAUAAUAUCUUUUGAAAUUAAUUAAUAAUAAAAAGUAUAAAAAAUAACAAAAUAAAGCUUUGAUUGAACGAUACAUUUAAAGUUUUACUAAUUUAAAUGGUGCGAGUUCAAAUAUUAUAUUUUUAUUUUUUAAAAUAAUUUUUUUUUUAAAAUACUCUUAAAUAAUAUAAAAUUACAUUAAAAUAAUUUCCGUAACUAAGUUGAGAUCUGAUGGGUGACACUAACUCAGCGAAAAGUGUAGAUUACACUUUACAUUACCCCUUGUCAAAUAAAUAAAUUAUCCAUUUAAAGCAUUUUCUUUCCGGUCAAAGUUUUGAAUAUUUUAUAAUAAAUUUUUAUAAUUACAAAUAAAUUUUAUAUAAUGUUUAUAAUUUAUUUACAUUAAAUAAUAUAUAAUUUUUCUUUACCAACUAAUUUAUGUAAUGUUUUUAUUUGGUUAUAUAAUUUCAUUAAUUAGAUUUUUUAUAUAAAGUAAUCAGUGUCAAUGCAUGUGUUCUAAAUAAAUCCUAAUUCCUCGUCUCAUUAACUAAUAAAAUAAAUAAAAUUAAUAAACCUAAUUAAAAAAUCAAUUAUAGUUUUUUUUUCUUUUUUGGAUUUUCCCCUCCCGUUAGAUUAAAAAUUAAUUAUAAUUUUCUUUUUCUUUUACCCUUCCGUUAUUAAAUCUAAUUAAAAAUUAUUACAAUAUUCUUUUUGUUAUUUACUGUGUAGGAUAGAAAGAGUUACUCAGAUUUUACCUAAUUAUUUCUGGAGGAGGCUAAGGUUAUAUUGGAAAUUUCAAUUUGUUUAUAUGGUUGUUGAUUGCUUCAAAAAGAUUAAUGUUGUUGCCUCCAUUUUCAAUCCACUUUUUGUUGUUAUAAUCCUAGCCUUCGGCUUUGUUCUCCAUUGCCCUGCUGUUGUUAAAAACUUCCUCAAUUUGCCUUCAAAUAUUCUGCCAACCUCACCUUCUACAUAUUCAAUAUUCAUUAAUGGUGGUCUACUUAUUUUGCACUUGGUGAAUUUGGAUUAAAUGAAUUUAAAAGAGGAAUAAUCUCUAAGUUAUUAAAUUUAAAAUUAUAAUAUUAAUUAAGUGUUUAAGGUAUUAAAUUGAUAAAAAAGAGAGAGGAAUAAAAGUUGACCUUGCUGGGAAGUAUGGGUAAUUGAUAAGUGCUCAUAAAUUUUUAUUAUUAUAAAGUUUAUUUAAAUUAGUAAAAUAGUUAAAUUAUGAAAUGAUUUAGAGUCAAUUUAGUAUUACUUCUUAAAAGUAUUUUUGGGUUAAGAAACACUUUUGAGCAAAAGUUAAAAUUUUAUAUUUCUUUUAGUAAAAAAAAAGUGCUUUGGCAAAACAUAUUUUUGCCCAGAAACACUUUUGAAAAGUACAAAAACAUUUUAUUUAACAAUGUUUUUAUUUCAAAAGUGUUUCUAACAAGUAAUACUAAACUGGCCAUUAAUGUAUAAAAAUGAAUCAAUGAUAUAUAAGUAUGUCAUUUGUAUGACUUAGUCAAUUACACAACACUUGCAAUUUGUGUCAAAUAAUGACUUAGUCAAUUAGUGUUUCUUUAACCCUUCGAAUGCAUCAUUUUCUCACCUCCUCAAUGGCUUAUUACACCUCUCAAAACCAUAUACUUUACCUAACAAAAAUCAAAUAUGUCACAAGAAAUGUCACUGUAUAACUUCCCUAUCAAUUAAGAGGGAGCAAUUGUUACACCUCGCUGUGAUCGCCCAAAAAACUAAGUCUAUAAAUAGUAUAAAAGGACCCUUCGUAAGAGUCCUUUAGAUUACAACUUGCUUGAUAAGCGAACCCACUUAUUAACUGCCACAUUAUAUCUCAACUACCACAUCUUAUAUGAGAUGACCCAAGGCACAUCAUAAUACCAUUCUGCCUAAGUUUAUAGCCCUGAGCCUCUCUCCUUUGAUUCGCCAAUAAAAACUUGACACUUGGCACCUUGAGACAAAAAAUGCCAAGUAUAUAAGGCUUAGGGCCUAAGGAUGAGAGACAAGUUAUAUCCAUCUCAUUUUCUCCCAACUUACCUCUAGUUUCUUCCCCUCCUCCUUCCCUCCUACUUUGACCAUACCAUUUGGCAACUCUUUGCCUAGUCCCAAAAGGGUGAACCACCCAUCUAUCAACACAAUCCAUAAAGGUUAUUUCUUUUAGGGUUCAUGGUUUCCCUUUCCAACGGUGUCUUCUCUAAAGUUCGAAUCUUUAUUCUCUCUUUAUAAAUACAGUGCGUCUUACUAUUACACUCAAAACUUAUUAAUGGUUCCUUCAUAUUAUAUUAUAAAUCACAUUUUAAUUAUUUUUCAUAUAAUAAAAUCAUAUACUACAUAUAAAAGGAAAGCCCUAAUGGUCUUCUUUUGUUGACAUGUGUAAAACCAAUUGUGCACAUUUUUUACAUUAUAAAAAUGGUUAGAUUUCAAUUUUGAUCCUUCUAUUAUGGUUAAAUUUGAUAUUUUAUCUCUAAACUUUAGUUUCUAAUAUAAUUCGGUCUUUGUAAUUUUAUAAUAUUAUUAGUUAGUCUAAAUUAGAGGUGUUCAUGGGCCGGGCCGAGUCGGGUUCGGGCCGGACUCAACUAAAAAAUCAUGCCCAUUUAUUGGGCCCGGGCAGGGCCGGGAAAAAAAAAGCCUAAAUUUUUUUCUCAAGCCCGACUCGGAUAAAAAUACUAAAACUCAAGCCCGGCCCGCCUCGCCUGUAUUAAUUUUUUUAUAUUAUUUUUAUAUUUUUUAAAAUAUAUAUAAUACAUCAAAAAUACUAAAAACAUCAAAAUAAAUAUUUCCCAACAAAUUAAAAAUAAAUUUUAAAAAAUAUGUAGACUUAAAUAACACUAAGAUAGAUGUAACUUAACAAGCAAAUACCUCUAAAAUAAUUAAAAAAUUAACAAAUGCCUUUAAAAUAAUAAAAAAAAUAAAAAUAAAAUAAGUUUUAUACAAUAUCCAAACAAUAACAACAAAAUAGUAGCAAUAUAAUAGUAAAAUUGUAGCAAAAUAGGGAGAAAACAACAAGAAAAUAACAUUCAAAAAUAAAAAAGAAUACAGAUUUUUUUAUCCUUCAGUGAAUUCGGGCUGGGCUCGGGCUAAAAAUACCUUACCCUAGGACCGAACCAUUUUUUAAACGGGCCUUAUUUUUUGUCCAAGCCCAUUUUUCGACCCUAUAUUUUUGUCCAAACCCUCCCACAUUUUGAGAGGGCCUUCGAGUUGGGCCGGGCUAUAGUCUAAAUAGUUAACAUCAAUAACUUUUCAAUUAAAAUGUUGUUGAAUUAUAUAUAACUUAAAUGUUGUAAGGUUCUUAGAUAUUGACACGCAGUUUCUCAUUUAUUUUGUGUUUGUCUUUUUUUUUUACAUUAUAAGACAAUGUUCAAAUUUCAGCUUGACCUAUAUAUUAUAUUGAAUUUGAGAUUUAAUAUAUAUACUUCAAUUUUUGGCAUAAUUUGGUUCUUCUAUUUUCAUAAUGUUAUUAGUUAAUCUAAAUAGUUAAUGUUGUUAACUAUUUUCAAUCCAAAUGCUAAUGUUAAUUUUUCUUAAGAGCACUAAUCCAAUAAAAAUAUUUUUGAAUGGUAAAAAAUCCACUUCAACAUUUCAAGGUUAUUUUUUUGUUACAUGAUUAUUAAGUAAAUAUUUUUUUAAAAUUUUUAAAUGUCACACUAAUAAAUUUAAUAAAACAAUUUAACUAUAGUAACAAUUGGAUCUGAAUUUUUAAUUUUAAAAAGUAAAGAAAUUAAAUAGUUGAAAAUAGAAAUAGUGUAAUGCCCCUUACCCGUAUUCGAUGCCAGAACAGGGUACAAUGUAUUACCGGACUUAAACACAAACAAACAUAUAUUUCCAAGUCAUAAAUUUUCGUCCAAAUUAAAACCAUUCAUAUACAAUCACAAUGUCUCUAAUACGAGCCUACGAGGCCUAAAACAUACUUUGGAAGUUGUUCAGGACUAAACCAAGAACUUUGGAAAAUUUCAUAAAACUUAGAAAUCUUUUUUGCCCUAAACAGAAGGAACAACUCGAUUUUUGGGUCUAGUUGAAACAGUAGUUUCGGGGACACAAAUUCGCCCCAGAAAAAUUUAUUUUUCUUAUAUUUUUAUGGUCUAAAGUUUUAUGGAAUGAUUCUAUGAAAAUUUCGUUCGAAAAUUUUGACGUUUGAGCACUCAAUUUAGUAAAAAGGACUAAUUUGCAAAAAGUACAAAACUUGAGUUCUACAAGCUAGAGGUGUCGAAUUGCUAUGAAAUUUUAAAUUAGAGGUCCUUAGAUGAUAAUUAUACCAAUACUUAAGUUAGUGGACAAAAAUGGACAUGAAGUAAGAGAAAUUUUAGUGUUUUAAGAAAAAAGCAUUUUGGUCAAUUGGUAAUUAAAUGAAAUAAUAAGCAAAUUAAAAGCCAAUUUUUGCUUAUCUUCUACCCCUUGGCUGAAAUUUACAAGAGGAAGACAUAGAUAGGGUUUUUCAAGCUUCCAAGCUCGAUUGUAAGUCCGUUCUAGCCCCGUUUUUAAUGCUCUUUACAUUUUUGAAGUCAUUGUAACUCGAUCUACCUAUUUCUAGCACUAAUUUGAGGUAUGAUUAAGGUAUAGGGUUUGAAACAUGUUAUACAUGUGUGUAUUUUGAUGGCUAAUAGUAGAAAAUGCAUGUUUGAUGUUAGAAAAAUAACUUUUGCUAAGUGAUUUUCGGUAAAAUGUCAAAAAGGACUUAUUUGUAAAAGUUAUAAAAUAAGUAGUAAAAGUGUGAUUAAGUGGAAAAUGUGAGCUGGUAUAAGCAUGUAUAUGGUUCGGCUAGGCUUGGGUAAUGAAGAAAUUGGAUGAAAAUCAUUUUACGAGCCUAAGGACUAAAUUGUAAAAAUGUGAAAUAUUAGGGGCAAAAAUAUAAUUUUUAUAUAAUAUGAUUUUUGGACUGAAUUGAACAAUGUGUGUAUUAAAUAAGUUAAUUUUUUUAUUAUAGAUCAAGAAAAAUGAGGUUCGGACUUAGACCGGGGGAAAAACAAAGCGUUUGACGAUUAGGUCAAAUUUCAGUAUUUUUGUACCGAGGUAAGUUCGUAUGUAAAGAAUACAUUGUAAUAUUUAUGUUUUAAAUGCUUUAAUAUUGUAUGAAUUGUGAUUGACUCUUUGAACGUAUUCGAUAAAGUUUCGACAAACGAGAAUUCCCGGUUGAACUUUAGGAAUAGAAUAGGAUACGGGUGACAUGUCACUGGGAACCCAUGUGUUUAUGUGAUCCGGGUGCUGGCCUAGCAUGUCCUACCAGUGGCUGGGUAGUUUGGCAUGAGUUGCGGAUACCUGACAGCUUAUGUGAGCAUCACUGUGUAGCUACGUCCUGACUAAUAGCUUGUGUGAACAGGCCCGUGAGUAGCUCGAAAACGAGUCUAUAUGUACUAUGAGAUAUGUAGUAGGUUUGGCUACAUAUGUGGCAUUUAUGUGCAAGAUUUUCGAGUAUAUGUUAAUAUUCCGAGUGUUCAACGGGAAUGUCAAAGUUGUGAAAGGCCAUGGUAUGUUACGAGUUGGUACAAGUAUGUACGUAAAACUCAUACGUAAUGAGCUCGAUAUGUGAUGAACCCUUGGUAAGGUUGUGAUUGAGUAAGUUAUGACUAUAAGAUCUUAAUAAUAUUCAUGCCAAUUUUCAUUAUGAUAAUUGUAUGUUAAAUGUGUGGUUAUGAUGCUUAUUAUUUACAUAGGAACUUACUAAGCUAUAAAGUUUGCUCCCCUUUUCUUUCCCUUGUCUUAUAUUGUCACCAAGCUAGCUCGAGGAUCAGAAACCGUCGGAGAUCCACUGACACUAUCAUCAAUUAUUUUGGUACCAAUGAAUUCAACAUUUUGAGUUAUGCAUGUAUAGGGGACUUGGUUAUUUUGUUAUGUGUCAUAAUUGUUUUGGCCAAAUGUGUUGGCUAUUAUUGGUUGAAAGUUCAUUUUGUAUAAGGCCAUUUGAAAUUAGCUACUAUUGGUAUAAGUAAUUUAUAUUUCAUGGAUGAGGGAGUUUACAUGAUUUGAGUUCAUAAUUAUGUGAUGUUUUUGUAUGAUAGAUGGUAGCUUGUGAAUGAUGUGUUGAUGUCUUGGUUGUGGCUGAAUUUGGUUGUAUAUAAAUGUUGGGAUUGGUGCUAUGUUGUGUUGUGUAGGUGUGAACAACAAAGGGUGGCAAAAUGGCUUGGUAAAUAGCCUUAUUUUUGUCCACACGAGUAGGCACACGAGCGUGUGUCUAGGCCAUGUGUGACACACGGCUUGCCCUACGAGCAUAUGCUUAGGUCGUGUGUCCCCUGCACCCUAAUUUUUGCAAAACAGAAUGCUCAGAAUUGAGUACACGGGUAGAGACACGGGCGUGUGUCUCUUUCGUGUGGACGACACAGCCUCAGUCACGGGUGUGUGUCCUUGGCGUGUAAAGUCUGCACCUAUUUUAUGAAAAAUCAUAAAUUUUAAUUCGACCACACAGCCUAGCACACGGGCAUGUGACUUGGCUGUGUGUUUUCAAUUUGUUCUUGGGUGACAAACAGUGAGUUACACGAGUUCGGGACAUAAGCGUGUGUGACCGCACGGCCUACCCGCACAGGCGUGUCUCAAAUCCACUCUAUUAUUUCAAAGGUACUCUAUUAUUUUUAAUUUAAUAAGACUUAAAUCAUAUUUCAACUUUUAAAUCUAUACUCUAUUAUUUGAUACAAACAAAUAACGAAGUGCGAAACCAUUAUAGUUAUAUUUAAAAGGUAUAAUGAUUUAUUUGGCCUUCUAAUUUUGUUAAAUUCAGAUUUGUCAUGUCAUUUUUUUUAGUUACAAUGUUACCCAGCGAUUUCUUUUUUAAUUUCAAAAUAUCAUACCACUAAAUUUAACAAAAAAAUUUAUAGUGUUAACAAUUGAAAAGCUUUUAUCUCAAAAUAGUUUUAUACCCUUUUUAAAAUCUAUUUAUAAUCUCUCUUUAAUUUUUAAAUAAAAGAAAAAAAGUAUAUUUCAACACACUCAAAUGCAUGUUAUGCAUAGUACUACAUUUUAACUUGCUUGAUAAGUGAACCCACUUAUUAACUGCCACAUUAGAUCUCAACUACCACAUCUUCUAUGAGAUGACCCAAGGCACAUCAUAGUACCAUUCAACGUAAGAUUAUAGCCCCAGGCCUCUAUCCCUUGACUCACCAAUAAAAACCUGACACCUAACACCUUGAGAUAAGAGACGCAGAGUAUAUAAGGCUUAGGGGCUAAGGAUGAGAGACCAGCUAUCUCCAUCUCAUUUUCUCCCAACCUACCUCAAGUCUCUUCCUAUCCUCAUUCCCUCAUACUUUGACCAUACUUGUAACACCUAUAAUUCGUAUCCGUCGCUGGAAUAGGGUUACGAUAUAACACCCUUUAACCUUAAAUCGUGUCGAGACAGGGUUACGGAGCAUUACCAGACCUAUCGGACAAUUUACAAUUAAAAUACACAAAAUUACCAAACAUAGCAUAAAAUACCUAUAUUUAACCAAUCCAAACACAUUUAAAUAUACUCAAAACUUGACAAAUUUAGACAUUUUAUAUAUCAUCCAAUACUCAAUUCUAUUCACUUAUCAUAUAUGAUCAAAUAGUUCAGAUUCAUACUUAUUACCCUAAUUCUACCAUAUACCAUUGCCAAGCUUAAUUCUACUUAUUUCAUUAAUACAUUAACAAUCCAAAAUGACACACACGUAAAACAUCCUAGGCACAUGCCAUUACCAACUAUUAACACGUUUUACCUCAUUGAAUUCGGGAUCAGCCUGGGAUGCUAAUUCAACGUUCUAGCUUUCAUUUAACCUGCACACGGAAACAAACCAUACGCUGAGUAUGAACUCAGUGGUAUUUCUAUAAUCCAAACAUUAAAUAAUAAAACAUACACUUAAUAUCAUUUAAUGAUCAUAAAUAUUCAUUUAUUCAUUUCAUGGAUAAAUUCUUUACAACUCAUUCAAUCUUUAUCAUCUAUUAACCCAAUUAGCUUUUCAAAUAAAUUCACAAUCAUUUAAAUAAUAAUAUUUUCCAUUCAUAUGUCUCACUUAUACUUCUGUUCACUAUUCAAUAUCAGUAAAUAAUUUUCAGUAUUGAUCAAUUUAUCAGUUUCGUUCAGUAACAUUCAAUCAUUCAAUAACAAUUAGUCGUUUAAUAAGAUUCAGUCACUCUUUAAUAGUCAGUUAUUCAGUAACGAUAAAUUAUUCAGUAACAGUCAAUUAUUCAAUAGCAGUCAGUUAUCCAGUAACAGUCAGUUAUUUAAUAGCAGUCAGUUAUUCAGUACCUUUAUUUACCCCUAUUAACAUGACUCGAACUCGGACGGAUAUAGGGAUCCAACCCACACACCGGGAUAGCAUACAGUGUUUCAUUGGCCGGAGCCUGAAUACACUGUAACGGUAACAGUAAUAGUAACAGUAGCGAUACACAGAGUACCUCAUCGGAACAAAUCCGGAACAGUAACAGUAACAUUAAGGUACGGAGUACCUCUUCGAAACGAAUCCGGAAUAGUAACAGUAAGGAGACACUUAUAGUGUCUCAUCGACACAAAGUCGGAAUAUCCCUAAACACUUCCAAUCCUAUAGCAUGCCAACUAUAUCCGACUUACCCUGAUACUGUUAAUAGGAUUUCUAAUUCAUUUUCCAAUUUCCAAUCAUUACACAUCUCAACAAUCAUAUAUAUUCAUAAUUCAAUAUAAUUCAUUUCACUUUUUCAAUAACAAAUAUUCAAUUCUCACAAUAAUCACAUAUAUCCAUAUAAAUUCAAUAAAUUUAACACAUAUCUAAUCAAUUCAUUUCAAUUAUAAAACACAAUAUUUCUCACCUCAAUUACUAUCAUAAUAUUCAAUCAAAAUUCAACAAUUAAAAAAUAAUUUCACUUUUCAAUUCUAACCGAUAUCUAUUCUAAUUCAAAUAUUCAUCUCAAAGCACUUUCUAUACAUAUUAAGUAAUAAAUUCAAUAAUUAAAUAUUAAGUUCAGAUUAUAGAAAUAUAAACCGUAAUUUUCGAGCUAACCCUCGUCGACUUUGCCUUUUUCUUGCUUAGCCGAGAUUUCCGGCACAAUGUUAGCUACAAAAAUUAAAACAAUUAAAAAGUCAUCAAUAUACAAUUUCAUUUUAUUCAUUCCAAUUUCAACUCAAUAUUUACAUAACUUCUAAUUUAAUCUCAAUUCAAACUAACUUGUUUUCUUUACAAUUUAUUCUCUAUUUUUCAUUCAACUAUUAUUUAAAAUCAAAUUUCAACUCUCUAAUUUCACCAUAAAACCAUAAUUUUGAAUUUUCUUUAAUUUAUUCCCUAAAGCAUAAAACUUAUGAAUUACUUUACAAUUCAAUUCUUAUUUCGCUUCUAACUUAAAAUUCUAUCAAUUUAAUCCCUAAUUCAAUCAUUUUAUUCAACAUGAACCAUAUUUGAAAACCUAUGAACUUUCAAAAUAUCAAUUUAAUUUCAUCAAAACCUUAUUCCAAAACUUCUAAAACGUCAAAAUUAAGUAAAAACGACUAAAUUGACUUACUUAUUAAACUUUCAAACCUUCAAACCCUAAUUCUCCCUUUUUCUUUUCUUUCUCAUUUCUUUCUUUCCUUCCCCUGCUUUUCGUUUGUCUAUUCUGUUUCUUUUCUUUGUUUCAUUUCUUUUUCUUUCUUUAUUAAAAUAUCUAUAUUAAAAAUCUAUUUAAUAACAAAUAUUUAUUUAAUACUUGUAUGCAUAUCUAUUAUUACACUUGUACCAAAUCAUUUUUAUACACUUGUCUUUCUUUUAUUUAUUUUAUUUAUUUCAUAUAAAAAUCUAUUUACUUAAAUAAAAAGUAAUUAAAUAAAAUAUAUUACAAUUGUACAAAUAUAUGUAUUAUACUUGUAUAUUUUAUUUACCAUACAUUUAUCUUUAUUUAAUUUAUUUCAUAAUUUAAUAUCAAUUUAAUAAUAACAAUAACAUUAAUAUUUACUUAAAUAAUAAGUAAAUACAUACAUAUAUUACAAAUGUAUGUAUAAUAUUUAUUACACAUAUAUUUUAUUUUUUUAUCACACACUUGUCACAAUUUAAUUUAUUUAUCAUAUAAAUAUAUUAUAAUAUAAUUAUAAUAAAUUAAUUUAAUAUCAUUUAUUACUAAUAAAUAUAUAUAUUUUAUAAUUAAAAUCUAAGUAAAAAUCUUAGAUUUUUACUUUAUAUGCCGCCUCACUUAUGCUAAAUGGCAUAAUGACGAUUUUGGUCCUUUUUAUUUUCUUUUAAUCUAUAAUUAAAAUUUCACACUUCAUUCAAUUUAAUCCUUUUAUCCAAUUAUCCUUAAUUAAGCUAAAUGCACUUAAUUACACUUUAAUUAACCAUUCAAUUAACUUUUUAAAUAUUUUUGAUGAAUAUUGACGGGUCUAUUUUUCAGUAACGAAGACUCGAAAAUACACUUUUCCGAUAACCGUAAAAUUCGGGUCAUUACUGACGAAGCAUUACCAGACUUAUUUCAUAAAUAAUCAUACAUUUCACAUACAUUUUUCAUUUCCAAAUAUAAAUCAUUCAUAAUCAAUCACAUUGUCCCUAAUACGAGCCUAUGAGACCCAAAUCAUGCCUUAGAAGUGGUUUGGGACUAAACCGAUAACUCAAGAAAUUUUUGGGAAAACAUAGAAAAUUUUACAAAAUACAGGGGACACACGCCCGUGUGUCUAACAGGCUAAAAAGACACACCCAUGUCAUAAACCGUGUAGACAUUCAAAAUGGGAUCACAUGGCUUUUUCCCAGCCCGUGUCCGACCCUGUGUAACUCCCUAAAUUGGGUUACACAGCCAACCACACGCUCUUGUGACUAGCGUGUGUGCCAUUCAAAAUGGCCUUACACGCCCGUGUGCCAGACCGUGUGUUAGGCCGUGCCAAACCUGUAGGGUAUACUGACUUAUGCCACACGGCCAAGUCACACGCCCUUGCACUGGGCUGUGUGGAGCAUACUGACUUGGUUUCUAAUUCAACACCAGGGAACACAUGUCAGUGUCACCUGACCGUGUGUCACACACGGCUGAGACACACGCUCGUGUCUCUGCCCAUGUGGACAAAAAUAGGCUAUGCACAAAGCCAUCUUGCUCACCCAAAUUUGCAUUCACCUACACAAUUCAAAUGGCAUAGACCAUGACAUAAAUAGGCAUUCAAACUAAUCUCAAACAAGUCUAAUUAAUGCCAAUUCCAUACCAACAACCACAAGACACUCAACUAUCACAGUAAGCCAUUCAAUUCAUACCAAUUUCACAUUCUCAAAUCACCUAAAUAGUCACUUUCAAUUAUGCAUCACUUCACCUAAAACUUCAAGCAUACCAAUCUCAAAUUUCAACCAUUUGGUACUCUAAAUACCAACUCACAAUAAACAAUCAUAUAACAAUUAUACACAACUUAUCAAAGGGCCAUUUGCACAUACAUAUACAUCAUCAAACAUGCCAAAAUAAGCCAAAUUACAUGGUUAUACAGAUAACCAAGCAUUCAUCAUUUACAAGCCAAAUCAAAUGGCUAAAUCCAUUACCAUACUGUAAAUCGUAAUGACCAUAAUUGCUAUGCAUGCCAUAUAACCAAAAUCACAAUUUCAAAAGUACCAAAAUGAAAGCUUGAUAGUGUGAUAAGAUCUCCGAAGACUCCCAAAUCUGAACAAGCUUCGAUAAUCACUAUAAAACACGGAAAAGUAAACAAAGUAAGUUAUAAAGCUUAGUAAGUUCGUAUAGUAAUAAAUUCAACUUACCAUAUAUACACAAUUUAAGAAAUUAAACAUAUCAAAAUAUAACUCAUAUUGAUCCACAAACCUAUCACAUAUUCAUUCACAAUGUUAGAUAUCAAAUUCACAAAUUUCUUUGAUUCAAUGCUUGUAUGUUUCAUGUACAUACCUGUAUCAACUCAUGUCAAUUUCAUACUCAUUCAUAUCCUCGAUAUACCCAUUGAACCAUUUGGAAUAAUAUCGGAUACUCGAGAAUCUUGCACCUUAAGUGCCAAUACAUAGCUAAAGCUAUCUCAAUUGUAUAUCUCAUAUAAUGUUCACUCUCGAGCUAUCAACGGGUCUACUCAUACAAGCUGACGGUCAAGAUGUAACUAUACGGUGCUGCUCACACAAGUUGACGAGAAUCUGCAACACAUGCCAGAUAACUCAGCCACUGGUAGGACGUACGAGCCAACACCCAAAACACAUAACCCCUAAUGACAUGUCAUUUGUAUCCUAAUCUAUUCUUAAGGUUCAACCGGGAUUUUCACAUUGUUGAAUCUUCGUCGAACAUAUCCGUAAGGUAGUAUUCACAAUUAAUUCAAUAAUAAAGCAUUUAAAACACAAUUAUAUUAAUGUUUAUUAACAUACGAACUUACCUCGAUCGCAAAAACAACAAAAUGGAUCAAUUAGUCCAAUAAUUUAUUUUUCCCCCGAUCUAGAUCUGAACUUCAUUUUUCUUGAUCUAUAUAAUAUCAAAUUUAACUUAUUCAAUUAUCAAUCUAUUCAAUUUAUCCCAAAAAUCACAUUAUGGAAAAAUUUCACUUUUUCCCCUAAUAUUUGAACAUCUUUACAAAUUAGUCCUUAUCUCAUAAAAAUACAAAUUCAUGCAAUUAGGUCCCUAAAUGCUAGCUGAAUUUCCCUUAUUAUCAUAGCAGUCCAUAUUUUUCAUUAAUUUACACAUUUGUUACAUAAUUUCCAUUUUUCACAAAUAAACCUCUAAUUUGCAAUUUCACCCAAAAUCACUUAACAAAUGUUGUUUAUCUAACAAUAACCAUUCAUUUUCUAUCAUCAAACAUCAAAAUACACAUAUGUUCAUCAAUGGAAAAACCUUAAACUUUUAACAAUUUUACAAAAUAGUCCCUGGGCUAGCAGAUUAAGUUACAACGAUUCCGUAAACAUAGAAAUCAUUCAAAACCAAGUCAAAAUCACUUACAUGCAAGCUAGAGAUUGAGCCGAAUGUUUCAAAGCCCUAAAUGUGUUCUUCCUUUUUCAAAUUUCGGCUAGGAAGAAGAUGAAUGAAAUAAAAUGGCAUUUUGUUUUAUUAAUUUAUCAAUUAAUUACAUAUUUAAUUAAUUAACCUUUAUAAUUAAUUUAAAUUACAAAAUUGCCAAGCCAUAAUCAUCUACUAACAUAUUAAUGGGCUAUUUACCAUGUAAGGACCUCCACUUUAAGGUUCUAUUAGACACCUUUAGCUAAUAGAACUUAAGUUUUCCACUUUACGCGAUUUUGUCCUUUUUAUCAAAUUGAACACUCAAACAAUAAAAUUUCUUAAUGAAAUUUGUACACAAUCAUACUAACAUACUAUAGACAUUAAAAUAAUAAUAAAAUAAUUAUUUGGACCUCAGAUUUGUGGUCCCAAAACUACUGUUCCGAUCUAACUAAAAACAAGUUGUUACAACUUUCCCCUCUUAGGAAUUUUCGUCCCUGAAAAUCUUACCAGAAAAUAGGUUAGGGUACUGUUUUCUCAUAGCUUCCUCGAGUUCCCAUGUAGCUUCUUCAACGCCGUUCUGUUGCCAUAAAACCUUCACUAAAGCUACAUUUUUAUUUCACAAUUCUUUAAUCUCUCGAGCCAGAAUUCUGAUAAGUUCUUCGCCGUACGUCAUAUCAGGUUGAGUUUCAAUCUCUGUCGGAGAAAUGAUAUGCGAUAGAUCUGAUCGAUACCAUCGUAACAUCGACACAUGAAAUACACUGUGGUUAUUUUCUAAUUCUGAGGGUAAAGCUAGUUGAUAUGCCCUAUUUUCUCAAUAAUCUCAUACGACCCGAUAAAUCGUGGACUCAAUUUUCCUUUGCGACCAAAACGAAGAAUCUUCUUCCACAGAGAUACUUUCAAAAAUACCCUAUAGCCGAUUUGAAAUUCAAUUUUUUGCAUUUCAAAUCCACAUACGAUUUCUGUCGAUCUGAAGCUACUUUCAAACUAUCGUGAAUUAUUUUCACUUUAUCUUCGCUCUCUCUGAACAAAUCAACCCCAUGAAUCUUUUUCUCACUAAGCUCGGUCCAAUACAAUGGAGUUUAGCAUUUACAACCAUAUAAUGCUUUAUACGGUGCCAUCUUUAUGCUCUAUUGGAAAUUGUUGUUAUACGUGAAUUCAACCAACGGUAAAUAUUUUUCCUAGUUGCCUUCAAACUCUAAAACACAGCAACGAAGCAUAUCUUCGAGAAUCUGGAUUACUCUCUCAGACUGACUGUCUGUUUGCGGAUGAAAUGCAGUACUAAAGUGCAACCGCGUACCCAAAGCUUCUUGCAAUUUCUUCCAAAAUUGCGACGUAAACCUUGGAUCUUUAUCUGAAAUAAUAGAAAUUGGCACCCUGUACAAUCUAACAACCUCAGAGAUGUACAAUUUAACUAAUUUACGGAGCAAAAAGUCUAUAAGUACCAAAACUCGCAUUUGCUAAAUUUAGCAAACAAUUGUUUAUCUCUCAAGGUUUGUAAUAAAAUUCUCAAAUGUUCAGCUUGUUCAGAUUCAUCUCGGGAAUAGAUCAGAAUGUUAUCGAUAAAUACAACAACAAAUCUGUCCAAAUACGGUCUAAAGAUUCGAUUCAUCAAAUCUAUAAAAACUGUAGGAGUGCUAGUUAAUUCGAAUAGUAUAACAAGAAAUUCAUAAUGCCCGUACCUUGUUCUGAAUGCAGUUUUCGAUACAUUCGAAUCUUUAACUCUCAAUUGAUAAUAACCAAAUCGUAGAUCAAUCUUUGAGAAUACCAUUGCUUCUUUUAACUGAUCAAACAAAUCAUCAAUUCUCGGCAAAUGAUAUUUAUUCUUAAUUAUAACCUUGUUGAGAUGACGAUAGUCAAUACACAGUCUCAUCAACCAUCAUUCUUCUUUACGAACAAAACUGGUGCACCGUAGGGCGAAAACUAGGUUGUGCAAAACCUCUAUCUGUUAACUCUUGCAACUGAGCUUUUAACUCUUUCAAUUAUGCCAGAGCCAUUUUGUAUGGAGCUAUCGAUAUUGGUGAUGUUCCAGGUACUAAUUCAAUAGCAAACUCGACAUUUCUGAUUAGUGGCAACCCAAGUAACGCUUUUGGAAACACAUCCAAAUAUUCACAAACCACUAGCACUAAUUUAAUCUUCGAUUCAGCCACUUUUGUAUCCAUCACAUACGCAAGGUAAGCAUCACAACCUUUUCUCACAUAUUUUUGUGCUAACAUCGUCGAUAUCACAAUAGGCAACUUACUUGACUCAUCAGAUUAAAUUCAAAGAAUUUCAUCAUUAUGACAUCUCAAUUCAAUAGUAUUUCAUCUACAAUUCACAAUAGCAUCAUGCAGAGUCAACUAAUCCAUACCCAAAAUCACAUCAAAUUUAUCAAAUGGUAAAAGCAUCAAAUCAGCCAGAAAAUAGUAACCCCAAGUCAUCAAAGGAUAAUUCUUACAAACUUUAUCAACUAGGACAUACUUACCUAAUGGGUUCAAUACUUUAAUCACAAAUUCCGUAGACUUAAUAGGAAAACUCUUACUAGACACUAAAUUCAUAUAGACAUAUGAAUGAGUCAAUCCAGGAUCAAUCAAAGAAAUUACAUCAGUGUCAUAGAGAAAAAAUGUACCGGUGAUAACAUCUGGUGAUGACGUAUCUUUGCGAGCGCGAAUAGCGUAAGCUCUGGUUUGUGUUCAAGCCUCGAAUCUCACAACAGAAUCCUUUGUCACACCUUUGCUACUAGUCACAUUUCCUAUAUUUCUAGGUAGUCUCCCUCUAGCAGCUGUAUUGCUCAGUCUUACAUUCAAAAAUUUAUCUUUCUCGAGUAUCCCAGGACAAUCCCAAAUAAAGUGAUCUUGCGAGCCACAUUUGAAAUUUAUUAUUCAUCCAGUGGUCUCUAAAAUGUCAUCUUCCACACUGUUGACACUUGGGUUUGUUGGUUCUAACACUACCAACACUCGAUAUUGAAGUGGCUUGGGCUUUAGAACUCAUGUAUUGCUUCCCACGAUCUCUAUUAGAAAACACCACUGAAUCAUUUGAACGAUUAUACAAAUCCUGUUAUUUCUUUGAUGAAGAGUGAUAGGGUUUAUUCAUCAACCUCUUUCUCGAAUCUCUAGCAUCAGAAUCAACUUUUCUAUUUUCUUUGCCAAGUUCUUUGGCUUUACAAGCUUUGUCAACUAACACAACAAAUUCUUUCAAUUCAAGAAUCCCGACUAAAAGUCUAAUGUCUUCGUUCAACCCGUCUUCGAAUCACUUACACAUAAUUGCCUCAGUGGAUACACAUUUUCGAGCAUAUUUACUAAGUGUUACAAAUUCUCUCUCAUACUCUGUCAUUGAUAUUCGACCCUGUUUCAACUCUAGAAAUUCUUUGCAUUUUUUAUCAAUAAAUCGCUAGCUUAUGUAUUUCUUUCUGAACUUGGUUUGAAAGAAUUCUCACAUGACUCUUUCUCUCAGCACCACAGAUAUUAAAGUGUUCCACCAUUGAUAUGCAGUAUCUUUUAGAAGUGAUACGGCCUAUUUAACACAUUCAGCUGGCGUGCAAGAUAAUUCAUCAAAUACUCAGAUUGUAUUCUCAAGCCAAAACUCAGCUCUCUCAAGAUCGUCAUCAACUGUAGCUCUAAACUCUUCAGCCCCAUAUUUUUUAAUUUUAUCCACUGGUGGCUUACUCAAACAUAAAUGUUCCAAACCUUGAGGAGCUACGGGACUGGUUGGUGAAUAGGUAGAGGUGGAUGUUACUGAACAGAUGGAUUAGUUCGGACAAACUCAGUAAACCAUUCGUUCAUCAUUUGGAAGAAGGUUUCUUUGGCCUCUUCUCCUUAACUCCUAGAUAUGGGUCUCGACUCAGACUGUGCUACUCAAUGAACAGAGGCUGGCGCAUUACUUUCAACAUCAUCAGCCACUGCUCGAUUGGGAUCCAUUACUAUAUAAAACCACGAUUUAAAACUGUCAGGAGAUAUCACACUAUCACAGGUUAUAUAUGGCAUGUAUAGCUAGACUCUUACUAGCUACAUUAGUCCUAAAAUCGACUAAACAAUAGCUCUGAUACCAAUAAAUGUAACACCCUUAACCUGUAUCCAUCAUCAGAAUAGAAUUACGGAGUAUUACCAGACUUAUUUCAUAAAUAAUUAUACAUUUCACAUACAUUUUUCAUUUCCAAAUAUAAAUCAUUCAUAAUCAAUCACAUUGUCCCUAAUACGAGCCUACGAUGCCCAAAUUAUGCAUUAGAAGUAGUUCGAGACUAAACCGAUAACUCAGGAAAUUUUUGGAAAAACAUAGAAAAUUUUACAAAAUCAAGGAACACAUGCCCGUGUGACCCGACCGUGUGUCUCACAAGGCCAAAGACACACCCGUGUCACAAGCCGUAUGGACAUUCAAAAUGGGAUCACAUAGUCGUGUCCCAGCCCAUGUCUGACCCCGUGUAACUCCCUAAUUUGCGUCACACAGCCAACCACACGCCUGUGUGACUAGCCUGUGUGCCAUUCGAAAUGGCCUCACACUCCCGUGUGCCAGGCCGUGUACUAGGUUGUGCCAAACCUGUAGGGUAUACUGACUUAUGCCACGCAGUCAAGUCAUACGCCCGUGCACUGGGCCUUGUGGAACAUAUUGACUUGGUUUAUAAUUAAACACCAGGGGAUACACGUCUGUGUCACUUGACCGUGUGUCACACACGGCUGAGACACACACCCGUAUCUCUACCCGUAUAGACAAAAAUAGGCUAUUUAUCAAGCCAUCUUGCUCACCCAAAUUUGCAUUCACCUAUACAAUUCAAAUGGCAUAUAACAUGACAUAAAUAAGCAUUCAAACCAAUCUCAAACAAGUCUAAUUAAUGCCAAUUCCAUACCAACAACCACAAGACACUCAAAUAUCACAAUAAGCCAUUCAAUUCAUACCAAUUUCACAUUUUCAAAUCACCUAAAUAGUCACUUUCAAUUAUGCAUCACUUCACCUAAAACCUCAAGCAUACCAAUAUCAAAUUUCAACCAUUUGGUACUCCAAAUACCAACUCACAAUAAACAAUCAUAUAACAAUUAUACACAACAUAUCGGAGGGCCAUUUGUACAUAUAUAUAUAAAUCACCAAACAUGCCAAAAUAAGCCAAAUUACAUGGUUAUACACAUAGCCAAGCAUUCAUCAUUUACAAGCCAAAUCAAAUGGCUAAAUCCAUUAUCAUACUAUAAAUUAUAAUGACCAUAAUUUCUAUACAUGCCAUAUAACCAAAAUCAUAAUUUCAAAAGUACCAAAAUGAAAGGUUGAUAGUGUGAUGAGAUCUCUGAAGACUCCCAAAUCUGAACAAGCUUCAAUAAUCACUAUAAAACACAGAAAAGUAAACAAAGCAAGCUAUAAAGCUUAGUAAGUUCGUAUAGUAAUAAAUUCAACUUACCAUAUAUACACAAUUUAAAAAAUUAAACAUAUCAAAAUAUAACUCAUAUUGAUCCACAGACCUAUCACAUAUUCAUUCACAAGGUUAGAUAUGAAAUUCACAAAUUUCUUCGAUUCAAUGCUUGUAUGUUUUAUGUACAUACUUGUAUCAACUCGUACCAAUUUCAUACUCAUCCAUAUCCUUGAUAUACCCGUUGAACCAUUUGGAAUAAUAUCAUAUACUCGGGAAUCUUGCACCCUAAGUGCCAAUACAUAGCCAAAGCUAUCUCAAUCUCAUAUCUCAUAUAAUAUUCACUCUCGAGUUAUCAACGGGUCUACUCACACAAGCUGGCAGUCAAGAUGUAACUAUACGGUGCUGCUCACACAAGCUGACGAGAAUCAGCAACACAUGUCGGAUAACUCAGCCACCGGUAGGACGUACGGACCAGCACCUAAAACACAUAACCCCUAAUGACAUGUCAUUUGUAUCCUAAUCUAUUCCUAUGGUUCAACCGGGAUUUUCACAUUGUUGAAUCUUGGUCGAACAUAUCUGUAAGGUCGUAUUCACAAUUAAUUCAAUACUAAAGCAUUUAAAACACAUUAUAUUAAUGUUUAUUAACGUGCAAACUUACCUCGAUCACAAAAAUGACAAAAUGGAUCGACUAGUCCAAUACUUUAUUUUUCCCCCGAUCUAGAUCUGAACUUUGCUUUUCUUGAUCUAUAUAAUAUCAAAUUUAACUUAUUCAAUUAUCAUUCUAUUCAAUUUAGCUCAAAAAUCACAUUAUGGCAAAAUUUCACUUUUUCCCCUAAUAUUUCAACAUCUUUACAAAUUAGUCCUUAACUCAUAAAAAUACAAAUUCAUGAGAUUAGGUCCCUACUCAUGCUAGCUGAAUUUAUUUUAUUAUCAUAACAGCCCAUAUUUUUCAUUAAUUCACACAUUUAUCACAUAAUUUUCAUUUUUCACAAAUAAAUUCCCAAUUUGCAAUUUCACCCAAAAUCACUUAACAAAUGUUGUUUAUCUAACAACAACCAUUCAUUUUAUAUCAUCAAACAUCAAAAUACACACAUAUUUAUUAAUAUAAAAACCCUAAACCUUUAAAAAUUUUGCAAAAUAGUCCUUGGGCUAGCUAGAUUAAGUUACAACGACUCCAAAAACAUAAAAGUCAUUAAAAACCGAGUCAAAAUCACUUACAUGCAAGCUAAAGAUUGAUCCGAAUGUUUUAAAGCCCUAAAUGUGUUCUUCCUUCUUCAAAUUUCAGCUAGGAAGAAGAUGAAUGAAAUAAAAUGGCAUUUUGUUUUAUUAAUUUAUCAAUUAAUUACCUAUUUACUUAAUUAACCUUUAUAAUUAAUUUAAAUUACAAAAUUGCCAAGCCAUUAUCAUUCACUAACAUAUUAGUGGGCUAAUUACCACAUAAGGACCUCCACGUUAAGGUUCUAUAGCUAUUAGACACCUUUAGCUAAUAGAACUCAAGUUUUACACUUUAUGCGAUUUAGUUCUUUUUAUCAAAUUGAACACUCAAACAAUAAAAUUUCUUAACGAAAAUUUUACACAAUCAUACUAACAUUCAUGUAUACAUUAAAAUAAUAAUAAAAUAUUAUAUUGACCUUAAAUUUGUGGUCCCAAAACUAUUAUUCCCAUUUGACUAAAAAUAGGUUGUUACAAUACUAUUUGGCAACUUUCCACCCUGUCCCAAACAGGGUGAACCACCCAUGUCCACCACCUACCCAUCCUUGUAUCAACACAACCCAUAAAGAUUAUUUCUUUUAGGUUCAUGGCUUCCCUUUCCAACAGUGUCUUUUCUAAAGUUCGAAUCUUUAUUCUCUCCUUAUAAAUACAAUGUGUCUUGCCAUUACACUCAAAACUUAUUAAUGGUUCCUUCAUAUUAUAUUAUAAAUCAUAUUUUAAUUGUUUUUCAUAUAAUAAAAUCAUAUAUAUAACUACAUAUAAAAGGAAAUCCCUAAUGGUCUUCUUUUGUUGACAUGUGUAAAGCCAAUUGUGCACAUUUUUUACAUUAUAAAAAUGGUUAGAUUUCAAUUUUAAUCCUUCUAUUAUGCUUAAAUUUGACAUUUGAUUUCUAAACUUUAGUUUUUAAUAUAAUUUGCUCUCUAUAAUUUUAUAAUAUUAUUAGUUAGUCUAAAUAGUUAACAUCAAUAACUUUUAAAUUAAAAUGUUGCUGAAUUAUAUAUAACUUAAAUGUUGUAAGGUUCUUAGAUAUUGACACGCAGCUUCUCAUUUAUUUUGUGUUUGUCUUUUUCUUUUCUUUUUUUUUACAUUAUAAGACAAUGGUCAAAUUUCAGCUUGACCCAUAUAUUUUAUUGAAUUUGAGAUUUAAUCUAUAUACUUCAAUUUUUGGCAUAAUUUGGUUUUUUCUAUUUUUAUAAUGUUAUUAGUUAAUCUAAAUAGUUAAUAUUGUUAACUAUUUUCAAUCCAAAUGCUAAUGUUAAUUUUUCUUAAGAGUACUAAUCCAAUAAAAAUAUUUUUGAAUGGUAUUUUUAAGAAAAAAAUCCACUUCAACAUUUCAAGGUUACUUUUUUGUUACAUGAUUACUACUAAGUAAAUAUAUUUUUUAAAAUUUUUAAAUGUCACACUAAUAAAUUUAAUAAAAUAAUUUAACAGUAGUAACAAUUGGAUCUGAAUUUUAAAUUUUAAAAAAGUAAAAAAAUUAAAUAGUUGAAAAUAGAAACAAGAAAACUAUAUUUCAAAUGUACUCUAUUGUUUUAAAUUUAAUAAGACUUAAAUCAUAUUUUAACUCUUAAAUUUUUACUCCAUUAUUUGAUACAAACAAAUAACGAAGUGCGGAACUAGUAUAGUUAUAUUUAAAAGGCAUAAUGAUUUAUUUGGCCUUCUAAUUUUAUAAAAAGUCUUUUUAGCCCACUAUUUAUUUUUUUUACAUUUUUAGUCUUUAAAUUAACAUUUUUUUAUCAAAUCACCCAAUAAUAAUAAUAAUAAUAACAAUAAUGCCUAAUAUUACCAGUUAAUUAGGAGAAAUUUCCAUUUUGGGUGUUAAGUACUUUAAUCCAUCAUACAAUGAAAGAUUCACUUUUAUUUUUUUUGGUAAUUCAAUAAAAUAUUAAAUUAAAUCUUGAUAAUUUUGAACAUUAUAUGGUUAUAAGAUACAUACAUGGUUGAAUUAAACUAUAACAUGUAUAAAUGAAAAAGGAAGUCCAUUUUUUAUAUAAUUAUUGUUCCAAAUGUAUAAUAAUCAAUGAAUUUAAAAUUAAUAUUUAAGAGAUAAAUAAAAUUUAUAAUUUUCCUAAGAGCACAAAAAAAGAAACAUAAAAGAAAUAAGUAGGACCAUUGAUUGGGAAAGGAAAGAGUAUGAAAUAAACAGCAAAAUAUUGUCACCAUCAAAGAAAAAGAAAGGAAACUUGGUCCACUAAUAUGCCUACCCCUAGGGGGUCUAUAAGAGAUAUAGGGAUGUAGAAUUUUGGCUAAAAUUCUUUAGAUUGGACCAUAACCAAUAUUAAAUUUGUGGUCUCCCUAAUCAACCUAACAAAACCCUAGUGAUGUCCAAUUUGUUCACCUAAUUCUCAAUUUACUCCCAUUUUUUUCCUUUAAAUAAUACAAAAGAGAUCUACUAUUUGUUAUAAUGAAAGGCAUUUGGUUAUGUAAUGAUGUUGAGAUUAAUGGCAUUUGAUUAUUGAAGUGUGGUUAUGCAUAAAUAUUUCCACUCAAAGCAAUGCCCAAACCAAGAGAAAAUAAUGAGUCCUCUUUAUUCAUUAUUACUUGUAUACAAUUUGAUUAAUGGGUGUUUCUAAAAUAAUAUUAUUUUUAAUUAAUUACUAUUACCAUUUAACUUGGAAUUUGUAUCUUGAUGUUUAAAAUUCUUUUAAAUUUUUAUUUGUAUAAAUUAUGGUGACUUGUAAAAAUAUAAGAAAUUAUUCAUUUCUUCUCUAAUGAGUGGAAAAUAUCGAGAAAAUGAAGAGAGAAGGGUUAGAUAAGACAAGUAUUGGGCGUAGAAGUAGGAAUGAUGGAUUGUGUCAGAUUUGAUUAUUUAGCAGUAAAAAGCCUCUUUCUCCCAAAACAUCUUUAACUGUUUCUUCACCUACUUUCAGUUUGCUUCUGCUUCAGCUUUUCGCAUCUCUUUCCUUUUCUUUCUCUUUUUUUAACUUUUACCAUUUCCACUCCUAAACUUCCAAUUGUGGCCACCCCAACCAACUACGCCACCACUAAAACAUGGUCUCUCCCACCGCCACCACCACCCUAUGAUCACCACCCCACCAACAUGUUAGGCCUCCAUAACAUCUUCCUUAUAGCUCCACCACCACAGGAAAACCAACAACAACAAGCCCCACCACCGCCGCCGCCACCACCACAACCCUUUAACCAAAACUACAACUUGACUGACACAAAUCUUUGGACUUCAAAGAGAAGCACCGCCCAAGAAUCAAUACCAGUUUUCCAAAAGAAAGAUGGAACCUUGAAUAAUGUUGAAGAAGAAGAUGAUGAUGAAAGUGGUGCUGCUGGUGGUUGCUUCAAGGUGUGUAGAGAUUGUGGGAAUAGGGCAAAGAAGGAGUGUGGAUAUAGUAGGUGUCGGACUUGUUGUAAGAGUCGAGGGUAUGAUUGUGCUACUCACGUGAAGAGCACAUGGGUGCCUGCUGCUAGGAGAAAAGACAGGAAGGUUUUAGUGAUCGGGGAUGAUGACGGCGGCGGAAAUGGUGGUUGGUCUUCCGGCUCCUCUUCUUGUGGUGGUAAAAGACAAAGGGUUUUGAAUUUGACUUCAAACGCUACUUCUAAGUCCUUGAAUUUUGAAGCAGGCACUUGUCACCAGGGUUUGCUUUCUCUUUAUCUUCUUCUUUCUUUUAUAAUCUUUCCUUCCAUUUUUCUUCAUCUAAGUAUCAAAUUUAUUGAAUCCAUGCCGAAGAAACCAUUGAAUUCAGGAUAAAACAAUGCUGGGAUUCUCUCUCUUUUUUUUUUUAAUUAAUGAAUGAUUGAAAUGUAUAGGAGUUAUUGAAUUUUAGUGUUCAAUGGAUGCUUUCAAUGUAUUGAGUUUGCUGGGUUAUUGAAUUCUCAUCUAAGUCUUUCAACUUUAAAUAUAUAACUAAGCUGAGAUAUUAUGCGACUGAAUGAUUUAUAUGUACUAAAUUUGUUGAACUGUUGUUUUACCAUAUAUAAAUUGUUCUCUGUUAGUAUAAAACUGGGUAUUUUGUUAAUUUCCAGAUUCAGGAUUUAAAGAAUCCUUACCGGUUCGAGUUCAAGCACCGGCGGUUUUCAGGUGUAUUCAAGUGACAGCCAUUAGUGAUGGUGAAUCAGAGAUUGCAUACCAAGCUACUGUGAAUAUAAGUGGCCAUGUUUUCAAGGGGUUCCUAUAUGACCAUGGAGCCGAUGUGAAAAACGAGUUUCCUUGCAUUUCAAAAGUCGUUUUUGAAAGCAGCAGCAGUGGAAGGGAUAGAGAUUCAUCUUCUCCGGUUGUUGAUCCAGCAAACACCAUUGCAGCCUCCGGUGACUGAGGAUCGGUUUAAGGUACAAUCUUUAGCACUCAACAUGUAAUGAUGUUUAUUUAGGUUCUAAAUGUGAUAGUUUAUGUGCUUGAUUGCAGUAAAAAAAUGAAUCAAAUAGGCCUAACAAUGUGAAGGUUACUUCAUACCCCAUAAAUCAUAGGAUUUUACAGUUUUAUCUUUUCUUCUUUUUUCUCCUUUUGCAUAUGCCUUCUAUGAGAUCAAAGACGGCAUCGGUGUGAAGCUUCGUGAACGAGAAGUGGUUCUUGUUCUAAUGUCACUAUCCAUCUUUGGUAAAAAAAAGCAAAAGAUUGUAUUUGCCAUGAUCUGCACUUCACUUCAGUGCUAGGCAUAUUUCCAAAAUAGGAAAGCACAUUAUUUGCAUAAAUGUUCAUCAUGUUGCUGAUAUGCAUCCUCAAAAACACUUCUGGGUCCACUCGCAGCAUCAGAUUCCUACAUCUAUGCAUGAAAUUUCAUCCGGUUUACAUUCGGAAUUUCCUCGAUAAAGAUUUCAUUAUCUUUUUAUUUUGUACCAUACACAAUGAUUAGCAUACAUGUCAAAAAGUUUAGUGCCUGUUGUUCGUGUGCUUUGCUUGGUUUCAUUGCCCUGUUUCCAGCGUGCGUAUAUUACUUAGGCACAGCCAUGAGAGUCAUAUAUGGAUAUUUGUUCAACACAGAUAUACAUUCUAACAAUCAUACCCCCAUACAUCCGGAGUAACAUGUUUUUGACAAGCUGGUUCUCUCUUAUUCUCCCUUUUAACUUUCUGUAUGUAUAUGCCAGGAGAUGAGCAGGAUUCAACCAAGCCAAUUUUGGUUGAAUGCACAUAUAUUAUACUACCUACAAAAUUCAUGCUUUACUUUUUUUCUUUAAGAAGAUCGCAGUCCGAGAUAAGAGAAAGGUUGUGCAUGCUGAGAUUUAAACUCUAGAUUUGCUGGAUGUCAAUACAUCUAACCCCAAGUUCCAUGCUUUCCAUUUCAACCCUAUAAGAAGUGGGAUACCGUUCUCUGCUCUACAAACCUUGCAAUUAUGGACAGUACUUCUUCGACUUAGUUUUGGCCGGUCAGAAGCAAGGCAAAUUGCGCUUUGCUGUUUUAGAAUCCGGGUCAGUUGCUUUCUGCGCUCAAUAACAGAGAGUCUCCAUAGAAAGAAUUAAGUUUCCGAUUUUGAAGAGUUUAUUUGAAUGAGAUGUUAAUGUCAGUGACUUAAGGCAUUGAAAGGUUUCCAAUAUGAGAACAUUCUACAUAAGUGAAUGAUGUAUGCAUGUUUGUAGUUAUAUAAAUGUUUUUGGGCAGAUUUCUUGUUCUACAAGGAAGACUCAUAUUCUAGAAAUGCUGCAAUUAUGGAGUGGGUGAAGAAAACCAGAUGAAAUAUUUGCCAUUGAAUCUAAUACAUGUAUGCUUGUAUUAAAAAUGGAGUUAAUGAGCAAAUAUUGAAAUCUGACACAAUUUUAUCGCUAUAUUUUAAUUUAAUGUUGAAGUUUGUCUUUAUUGAAUUUUACCACUAAAUUUUUGUUUUGAUUCAAUUUUAAUUUUCAAUAAUUUGGAAAAUUAUUCAUUUUUUAUUAUUUUAAUUAACAAUCAGAAAUUUAAAAAAAAUUAUUUUAUAAAAAAAACUAAAGUUACUUUUUUUUAUUUUCUGAUUAUUAUUUUAAAAAUUUUCAAGUCUUUAUUUCAUUAAAUAAUAUUUAUGUUAAUUUUUUAUUUUUUUAAUGUUUAUAGACUAAUUGAUUUUUAAGUACUAAAAGCAAAUAUUUGAAUUCUUUUAGUAAAGUUUUAUCUUCAAAUCAUUAAAAUAUUAUUAUGACUAUUGAAAAAUGAAUAACUUAUAAUAAUCAUAAUUAGUAUUUGAUUAAGAAGUGAAAAGGAAAAUAAAACAAAUAUUAUAAUUAUUUUUAUUUCAAUCCUAACUUUUCUUGUACAAUAGUUUAUAUAAAGAAUAAAGCAGAUUAAGAAAAAGGAAAAAAGAUAUUUUAUGUAUUAGAAAACAUUUAAAAUUUCCUUUCCCCCUAAAUAAAAAUACGGAGUAUUUUCAGCUUAUGGAUCAAUUAUUUUUAUUUAUUUUUUUGAUAAUUUUUUACCUGGAUAUUAAACAUGAAAAAUGAUUGUAUGAAACUGUAAUUUCAUAUUCUAUCUCUUUUUGAUGAGAGAAUAAAAAAUCAAACUUCUCCUACUGAUUUUCAAAAAUCUAAUUUAUUAUCAACGUGAAAUUAUAGUUUCAUACAAGAUAAUCCCUUCUAAUUUAAACAUAUGAGGUGUUUACAUUUUUGACAUAGUUGUAGGUUUUUGUUUUAGAAUUGAAGGUAAAGGAAAUUGGAGCAAUAAAAUUGAGGGAAGCAGCUGCAGCAUCCCCACGAGAGUUGGCAUGAACAUUUGGCAGCAUAACAAAGUCCACAGGCGGGGGCUAAUCCAUAAAUCUCAGGCCAGGACCAUUGUUGGCCACAUUUUCCACCCCUUGUCAAAUCAAUCGCCUUCAUUUUUCUUCUGGAACCUUCUCAGGGAACAAUGUCCUUUGACAGUUGACUACUUUCUUAAUCCAUUGAUCACAUUGUUUUGCCGACUACAUUACAGUUGGUUGGAGUUAUCCAUUAAUAUCAUACACCAAGAUUAGAAGUCCAUGAGAGGAAAUAAAGUUUAUAUAUUUGUUUUAGCAUUGCUUUUAAUGUAAUACAUAACAAAAAAAAAAAAAAAACCCAUUCAUCAUAUGAAAAUUUCAUGGAAAGCUCAGCGUGGGUUUACUCGUGUGGGAGGAGGACAGGACUUAAAAAUGGGCCUUGUAUGUAUUGGAAACUCACUACAAUAUGAUGUGCAUUGUUUGCUGCUACAAAUGCCAAUGUUGAUUGACGUUAGCUUUGGAAAAUGAUAAGUGGACCAUGCAUUCAUUUCUUCAGUAACAACCUCUAAAAUGAAGUGCUUUAUCAAGGAGAUUUAAUAUUAUUUUUAAAAAAUUAUUAAUAAAAUCAUAUAAAUUCAAUAGCUUGUUAUCAUACAAACAGUGUAGCAAAAUUUUUCAUCUUCAAUAUAUAUAAAAGCAACUAAAUGUUAGUUUAGUUCAAACAAAACCCUUCCUAUACAUGAUAAUAUCAAGCUAGUUAGGUACAAAAAAAAAAAAAAGAAAAAAGAAUGAAUUCUAAUGUUUCACCAUUUGAACAAUUCAUUUACAUUUGAAACAGCCUUAACAACUGUGUUUGCAAUGUUAACCUAAACCUUCACCUCGUGUCAAUGACGGAAGCCGUAAACCUUUUCUUUUAAGCACUCGCAUCCCUGAAAAACGAUCGGGUGUAGACUGCUGCCGAAUUGAAAAUCUUGUAAAGAUCAUGAUGGCAUUUUCAAGUGUCUUCUACGAAAACUUUGAAAAUGAAAUCCCGGAAGCGUUUUGAAUACAACUUCGGGUCAACAGCAGAAAUCGAAGUUGGAUCAUAUUGCAUUGAUUUAUAUGCAUGCUCAAGCUUCUUGCUAAUAUCAUAGUCUUGUAGGAUGUCUAUUAUACCAAAGAAGAGAAUGACAUCAUACAUUACACCAGUUGGUUCUCCAACCACUUGGCAAUCGUUUUUCCUCACCGUCUUUUCGGCUCGAGCGGCCAUGUUUAUACCUAAACUAACCGGAGACUGCCUGCAUGUUUUCAUAUCGAAAGAUUCAUGUCAUGUAAUGUUUUAGAUCCAUAAAUUAUCAUGUUAAUGGCAAUCAAUUUUACCGUGUGGAGUUGAUAACAAGCUGAUCAUUGCUAUCUUCGGAUAGCCGAGGAGCUUCUCCAUUUUCACAAUCUCCAUUUCCUGCAAAUUAAGUCCAAAAGAUAUGUUAACCUGUUAAGCAACCAUUGAUUUCAAAGUCAUGGAAAUUUUAAUUUCCAUUAGAUAACUAGAAAUAAACCAGUAGGUGAGGAAACUCCAGAAGUAUGAGGUGUGGAAACUUCACGAAAGUGCAAACCGAUCAACAAACUGUAGUCCAUAAUUCUCUCGUUUUCAAGAAAGUCACAAUCUCGGUCGACUUGACUGCACGAAAGGAAUGGAAGAAAUAUUAGGUAACAUGAACCUUAAUAAUAAAGAGGUUAUUAGAAAAUAGAAUCACCUGCAGAACUCUUUGAACCACAGUUUCUGCAAUCGAAAUAUAUAAUUGAGAUCGAGGUCUUUGAGGGUUGUUGUUGAGUCAAUCUCUGCUUCAGGUUUAGCAGUUGUGCGACCUUGGAAAGAACCUUUCAAGUCGAAGCGCCUAUGAAUGGCAGUGUCGGUACAGAACAGAUUCCCCAUUACAACAAAUCGAACCUGACUCAUUGAGAUCACAAGUGAAGAAAGUAUGAGAUUUAUCUCCUACAUUUUAUUACCCCAAAGAUGUGUUUGAAGUUGCAUUGACACUACCUUUUUCUGUGUCGACCCAGUUAAUUUCACACAAUGAAGACCGAAAAAUUUGGUGACUAGAGUGUCCUUAAAGGACCGAACAUGAUUAUAGUAGGCAGGAAGCAUUCUUAUCAGAACCUGCAAAUGCAAUAGAGUCCGCAAUGAUGAUUAUUUAGUCAUCAAGAAAGUAAUGCAAAACUACUAGAAAUUGCAGGUUUACGGGUUCAUCACAAUAGAAAAAAGCAAUAAAAACUUACUUUUACUUCUGCCUUCUUCAUUGUCUUUAUCAUGUAUUUGUCAUCAUUGGUCAAGUAAAAAAAGCUUCCACUUUUCCCGGGGGAUGAAAGUUCCCGAAGGGCAUCAUCCCCACAUAUCGAAAGCAUGUAAUCAGCUGCAUCUAUAUUGAACAAUUUCCUUAGGGUCCUGGAAUUGUAAAAGAAAUGACAUGUUAGGAAAUACUUGUAAUGUAACCACUUAAUGGUGGUAUCAUAUUCAUAUCAUAUACUUCAAAAGUUAUUAUCAUGCAAUGAAUUGGAUGAAGUGAAUAUUUUAGUAUUCUUCCAUUUGCAUACAGCUUUUUUCAUGGUUAUGUUAUCAUACUAUAGUAGCACGAUCAAGAUGAAACGCUUCUUCAAAGAAUGAUUAUCUUUUUGAACAAGCAGAUGAUCCAGUGUCGAACCUGAACACAAGAGGACAGUAAUCCUUCCAUUUGAAUUCAGAAGAUGGAUGAGGCGGAGUGUGCUUCGAUCCUUCAGGUGGAAAUCUGGUCCAAAAUUUUUCCCUAGGAUCAAAGGCUGAUGUCUUCAAAUCAAGGGAUAAAGCUGGACCAGGCCUUCCAACAGAGUGUCUACAAUUUAACCAGAGAACCAAUACAUGCAUGAUUAGAAUAUAAAUUAUUUUAUCUCAAAACGGAAACGAGUUCGAUUUCAAUAAAUCUUCACAACAAAAUCAAUAAACAUAAUCUAAAAGGCAAUGCAUAUAGCGAUAAACAUAACCUAUACCUUCAGUACCAAGCACUUGCAUGAUUACAACAUAAAUCAUUAUACCUCAAAACAGAAAAUGAGUUCGACCUUCGCUGCAAUAUCGGUAAACAUAAUCUAGAAGGCAAAACAACAUAUACCCGAAAACAAAUAACAUUUGACAUUUCAUAACCAGAAGAAAAACAACAUAGAAGCUGAUAAGAUACAAGUAAAAACCAGUACCUGAUACCAAGUUGCAAGUUAAGCAUAAGCUCAAAAUUCUUGUGGCCUCUGGAUAUUGUCUGCCCUUGCCUCCGCGUUGGCGGCUUCUUAAGCUGUAGAGAACUCCCUCUUGCAACUGAAUCUUCAAGGUGAAGUCUUCCCACACUUCCAUCCCCAUGUCUUGAGAUUCCUUCACUACCAAAAGAAACACUUCCACCAUUGAAAUCUGAACUCAUACUAAAACCACUUAAACUCCCAUCAGACCUUCUUCUUUGUUUCCCAUCUUUCUCUUUGGAUAUUGCAAACCAAUUUGGCAUCUUUUCUGAAGGCCAAAUUGAUACUUUCUCACCACCACAUAUCUUACAGUCUUUCAGAUCCUCUAAAAACACCUGUUGAGGAUCCCAAUCAAAUUUCUCAGUUGGAGAAUCAGAUGGAUAAUAAGUUCCAUUUUGAUCUUUACCAUCUUUACUCCAAAUACCAACAAAAAAGCUCCCAUCUGGCCAUUUAUAAGUCCCAUUCCCUUUAGGAAAACCAUCCUCCCAAAAGCCAUCAUACCUAUUCCCAUUACUCCAAAUCAUUGUUCCAUUGCCAUUUAUCAACCCUUUCUUCCAUUGACCAAUAUAUUGGUUCCCAUUCUUCCAAUGGUACCUCCCAUAUCCUUCCUGGAAUCCACGGCGCCAUUCACCUUCAUAGUAAUCCCCAUUCACAAAACUAAUAGUCCCUUCUCCUUGUUUUAAGUUCAUAACCCAAGUCCCUUUAUAAGUUUCUCCUGAAAAGCCAGUGUAAGUCCCUUUACCAUCCAUAAAACCAUGCUUGAAUUCACCUUCAUAAGUAGCACCUGAAGGCCAACAGAACUUGCCUUUCCCUGUUGUUUUCCCUUUGAACCAUUCACCAACAUACAUACAUCCAUCAGUCCAUAAAUACUUCCCAUUGCCAUGAGGGCAACCAUCACACCAUUGGCCGGUAUAAAAGUCACCGCUAGGAAGGGCUUUUUCGACAUUGCCAACUUCAGCAGCCUCUUCAUCAUCAACAUGAGCAACUGACAUUGCUGUAAAUUCGCUUUCUUCUUUGCACCUGCUUGUGAGUUCUUAACUUCAAUUUCAAAUUCCUUUUUAAAGCUUAGCUUUCUGCUCAUUCCAUGAAUUAACAAAGAAAAACUAUAUCUUCAUUCAAAUUCAGCAUCUCUUCGUCCUUUCUUUAACCAAUAAAUCAAAAUAUCAAAAGAAAAAAAAAUUGUCUCUCUUUGUCUCUCUUUGUCUCUCUUUGUCUUUUGUCUUUUCUCUUUGCAUCAAUGUGGGGUCUUCAGGAACACUAAAAAAAUGAAGAAGAACAACAAUUCUGAAACUGACCUUGAAGAGAGCAAAUUGGAGGGAAAUGGAAUCAUCUAAAUAAACAAAUAAAACCAACACCAAAAAUCCAAUCUUUUUAUCAAAGUUUUGAGCUUUCUGGGUUGUUAAUUUGUUUGAAGAAAUGCGAGAUAUUGGAUUCAAGAAUAAAGCCAAAAAAUUGGAGAAAAUGGAAUAAAACUGGUUUCUUUCUCUCUUUUUUCUGGGAUUUCUUUUUCCUUUUGGUUUGGUUGAUUGAGAUCAUAGAACAAAACCAUUUUUGCUCAGGUUCUCGGAUUAGGUUCCUAAAAUAACUAGCUGGCCAAACAAUUGGAGGGAGAAUAGUAAGGGUUUCAUUGCCAUUUUUAGUGUCUGAAAAAAGAGUCCCUAUUACCACUAAUUUUAGUAUAUUAUUAUCAUUACUUCUCUCAAGUUGGUUUAUUUUUCUUCUUCAAAUUGCAAAUUUAUUUAUGUAACGUUCUUGUUAGACAAAGUCUUAUUUUGAUUUUUCAAUUUUGUCCUUGUGUUUUUAUGUAAUUUCCAGAUUUUCUCUAAUCUUUUGAUUGGAAUUCAAUUCGGUAACAACAUCAUAAACCAGAGCUUGAACAUGCAUAUAUAUAUAUAUAGUAAUAGUUAUCAAAAUUACUACAAAGCACUUGCAUUAAAUAAUAAUGUAGGGUGUGCUCUACUAUUAAUACACCAAAUUAAUCCAUCCAAUCGAUUUUUUAUUAAUUGGAGUAAUGGUUAUGAUCACUUUAUUUACAUAUAUCAAUUAAAAUUCAGGAUACUUCUCAAAAGAAAAAAAUAAGUACCUUCAAUCAAAUCAAUGUAUUUGAAAAGAUUGAUCUCCAUCCAUCAAAAGCUUGAACCAAACUUUAUUAUCAAGCAAUUUGGAGAAGAACUCACACUCCAAUGCAUUAACCAAGUAUUCAACUUUCCCAUAUUGACCUUGUCUCCUUCAGUGGACAACCAUGGAGUUCUUACAUUGUUCAAAACAGAACCAAAUUGCAAAAUGGACGUAUAUAUAGAGGAGCAACCAAAUUCCAGCCCAUUUUAAAAUUAAAAAGAAGACUGAAAACGUGUUUUUCAAGGGAGACGGAGAAAGAACAAAACAGCGAACAUUGUCUUAAAAGGUUUGGCUGGCCAAUGUUGAAACACGUCUCUCUCUCUAAUGGUGUGAUCUUAUUGCAAUCGUGCACCCUUGCUCGCUAUGUUUCAGGUUCAGACAAGGCGAACAUUGAAAAAUAAAUAAUAAUAAAAGAAGUUGAAAAUCCCUGAAACCUUGGACCCACUUUUUGGUUGGUUUCAUAAUUAGGAUGAAACUUGUCUUUUUCUUGCCCAUUUUAUCCGUCGAAAUUGUUGAUAUAAGCUUAAUUCUGGUUUUAAAGUGAUUUGAAGGGAAAAAAAAAUUUAAAGGAGAUCUGAAAAAUGUAUAAUACUUUAAUUUUAAGUGUUUGAUAGUAUUGUCAAAAUUAGAGGUAAAAUUUAUUAAUAAGUAUUGAAUAUAAUUAUAAAUGAUAUUACAUUCUCAAAAAAGAAAAUGUAAAUUUAAAGACGACAUUAUUAAGAGAAGUAAUCGUGAAUCUUAAUAUGAAUUAUAAAAUGAAUAUAAAAAAAUUGAAAAUAAAUUAUGAAUAAAAGUUAAAAUGUCCUUUUUUUUACAUGACAAUGUAAUGAUACAUGAAAUAUAAAUUUUAAAUAUAUUUUAAGUGAUUAAUUCAAAUUAUUUGUAAAAUUAAUAAUUCAAAAAAUAUAUAAUAUUUAAAUAAUUUAAUAUAAUAAUUGUGUUAAUAUUUAAAAAUUUUAAUAUAAUAAUAUAAUAUAUAUAAAUUAAUCUAAUUUUUAUAUACUUAAAUAAUUAAUUAAGGGUAUUUGAUAAUUUCAUUUCCAAAAGCAAAACUAAAAGACACUUGAAUCCCAACUUUUAAAUGAAGGAACUGCCCUAAAGUAUGUUUAGGGGUAGUCAUAUUUAAAGAUUUAAGAGUCUAUGCAUGAGUUUUGAUUUAGUUAAUUCUAGCUUGAAUUGUUCUGGUCAUAAUACAUACGGCGGGUCUCCGAGUCCCACCAAUGUUAUUAUUGUGCAUAGAUUUUGAUUUAGUUAAUUAUAAUUUGAAUUGUUCUAGUUUAGUCUGUUUGUGCUAUAAUUAUUUGAUUUUACGUUUUAUUUUAGCUCUUAAUCCAUUUGUAUUGUAAUAAUUUGGUUCUUUAUUUUAUAGUUGAUUGGAUAUAUACUUGUAUUUAUAUUUUAAUUAUACUUGAGAACUUUCAAAAACAACAACGAAACUAUUGAUUAAUACAAAAUUUUAAAUUAGAUUAAAAUAUUAAAAUUUUAACCUAUAUUAUUAAUAAUUAGAUUCAAUUGUUUAAUUUAAUCAAUUUAUAUUCUAUUUUAAUACAUUUAUGGAAAAUAAAAAUAUUACAAAAAUUAAAAUUUUAGUUUAAAAAUCAAACAACGAAAUAUAUAUAAAAAGAGUUCAAUAUUAUGUACAUAUAUACAUUCAUACUACAAAUUAAUAUGAUUUGUAAAAUCGAUAAUACUGAUAUGAUAUUGAUACUAUUUCACUUUUAUAUUAAAAUUAAUAUAUGUAUAGAUGUGAUAACUCGAAUACUAACCACCGCGAAAAGAGGCAAUAAAAGAGUUUUCAUUGUCAACAUAACCACACAAGAAUGGGCAAUUGGAAAUGGUAAAGUUUAAAACAAGCCCUACACAUGCAUCCAUUUUAUGCAUUAAGCAUAUGCGUUUGAUUUUGCAACAUGUUAUUUCUUGGUCUACCUUUUGGAAGGCUCUUGUCAAUUUAGCAUACAAUUCUUGUCUCUUCUUACCUUCCAAUGCUACAACUUUAAGAAGAGACAAGAUGGAGACAUGAAUUUAAAGCUGUUGUUUUACCAUUUGUAGCUUUAGACAAUCCAACACAAUCUUUCUCAUCAAAUUAUUUUUUGUGUUUCUUGAUUUUGACAUGGGUAUGGGUAUACAUAAAUUUGUUAAUUUUAAAAAUAUGAUGCUAAGACAAUAUGAAGUAUAGUCUUGAAUCGCGAAGUAGUAUUAUUAGAAAAGUAAUGGUUGACUAAUCUAAUUUUGGUAGAAAUUUCAACUUUUGUAUUAUAUGUUGUAUUUUUAAACAUCUACUUUGAAGUUUUAUUUUUGUGAAAGUUCGAAUUUUGGGUGAUAAUUUUCAAUUAUAAUCGAAAGAAUAAAAUUAUAUUAUGCUUGGAAAAUGAUUAUCCAAUUCUAAAGCAUGAUUUUUAGUUGAUAUUGGCAAUCAUGUUGAUUACACUUUAUGCCAUAACGAUCUUUUCUAUGUUUGUGUUAAACAGCUUUGGACGGCGCUAGGUCUAGUCCACGGAUCUUUAAGGUCUUUCUUUAUCUAUUAAAUAUUAAAUAUUUUUAAUAAUAUUCUCAAAACCUUUUUAGAAAUUGUCUUUUAUUUUAAAAAAAGAAAAUGGGAAUUGUCACUAAUCCUUUUUAUUAAGUGUGAUCCAAUUACCUCGUAAUUUAAUUAUUUUAACAAAAAUUUAGAUUUACUAAAACGAUGAUUUUCGAUUUACAAAAUCUAGGAAAUGAGUUUGGGAGUUGGUUAUGCACGAGGAAGGGUUACACCCUCAUAAUGCCUAAAAUUGGUACCUAGUUGAUUAGUUGAUGUCUUAGUGUCGAGAAUAGAAAAUUUAAAGAGAAUUUAAAACAAGAUCCCACUUUGCAUAAUGUUAUCUUUAAUUAAAAUCAUUUAAAUAAAUUAAAACGUCUAUAAGAGACCUUAUCUCGAGGUAACUAAAACGAAAAAGUCAUAUCCUAUAAAUAGGACAAGACGUCUCGAAUCCUUGAAAAUAAGCUUGCUCAUUAUUUAAUUAUUAUUUAAAUCUCAUGUGUUUUAGUUUUAAAAGGGAUAUUCGGUUUUCUAGGUUCAAAUAGAAAGUCAAGCUCCAUAAGUUAGGGCACAACUUCUCGAAUCUUCCAAUACAGAACAUUGCCUUAAUUUUAAUUUUUUUCCUUUUUUAUGCAUCGAGUAAAUACAAAUGUAACAUUUGAUUUAACUUAUUUGGACAUAGUAUAAAAAUGGGUAAGUAUAUUUUAAACAUGAUUGGUGGCGUGAUUGUAGCAAAAUAAAAUAAAAUAGAAAUGUGUAAAAAAUGAAACGAUGAUAACGAAAAAUAAAAAUGUCAUGCUAGUAAAUGACAAUGAUAUAACUAUAAUAAUAAAACACCAAUUCAUAAUAACAAUGGCAAUAAUCAUGUUAUAAUUACUAUUCUAAUACUAAUAUAAAUAAUCGACGAAAGAUAAAUGGUAAUAAUAAUAAUGAUAGGAACAACAAGUGCGCAAAUAAAAAGAAAUAUGAAUAAUAUAAAUUUUAAAUAUAAAAAGAAUAAAGAAAUAAUAAAUAAGUAAAUAAAUAAAAAUAAUAAUUCAUAAAAAGUUGAAUUAAAAUAAAUAAAGGACUUAAUCAGAACUUAAAUGAAAUUAAAAGCGAAAAUUAUAGAGAAAAACUAAACAAAUAAAUAAAUGAAAGCCUAAAAUGAAAACGCCAAAGUAAACAGGGACCAAAUGGGUUAUUAUUCCAAGCGCUGGGACACUUGUCGCUCCCGUAAUGGGUCCACAGUGGUCGAGAGACUAAAUUGCUCAAUAAACAAAACAAGAGGGAAAAAGUAAAAGCAAAAAUACUAAGCUAUAGGACAAAAUUGAAAAUAGUAAAAAAGCGAAAGGGCCAGAGCAGCAAUUAAACCCUCCAUUUAAAAAGUGCGCGGAUCCUAAAGGAAUCCUGGUCGGGUCCUCAGGUCAGCCUUUAAAAUGACGUCAUUUUGGGGCGUUUGAAACGGCGUCAUUUUAACAAGUCCAUAUAAAUUAAAAAUAUUAAAAAAAUCAUUUCAAUCCUGUUUUAAAAAAAAAUCUUUCCUCCCUUUUUUUUUUCUCUCGAUUCAGUCCCCUGUCCAGCUAAGGGUUGUAGCAUGUCCGCGAUGGCCACCGGUCUCGGCGAUCUCGACCGCCAUCUCCGGUGGCCUGAAAACCCCAAAAAAACUUUUUAGACCCUUUCUUCGAAUAUAACAUAGAUCUAGGGUUUAAAUCCCCGUCAACCUAACCGAUGUUCGGCCAAAGAAAAAGAAACCGAAAGGUUUCGCCCUUUUUCGAUGAGGCAUUUGAUGGAACCCUAAGGGGUUCAUAGGCUUCUCGAGUCAGAGGAAAGAGACCCACGACGGCAACGACGAUGGCGGUUUUCAAGUAAAGCUUAUUUUUUUUUAAACUUGUUCAUUUUGCAUCUUAUUCGAUUUUUUAUCUUUUAAUUUUUUCUCCUUAAUACAAUCUGUUGUUAUGGCUUUUAUAGCUAUAUAUUACAUACUAUUUAUUAUUUUUUUGUAUCUUCUUGCUGUUUCUGUUGUUUCUGCUUCUGUCCUCUUUCAUUCUCUUUGCAGGUACCCCUAGCGGUCAACAACGACAAUGAGAGUCGUGUCUUACCAUUUCAGUGUAAUGGUAGCAGGGAAGCAAACCUCGAGCGGUGAGUACGCCAACGUAGGGAACGACACGAAAGGGCUAGGGUUUUUUAGUUUUCUAAAAACUUAAGUUUUGGGCCUUAGGGUUUUGUGUUAUUGGGCUUGUAAUUUAGGUAAUGUAUUAGGCCCUUUUUUGGGUAAAUGGACUUGGAUUUUUUAUUUUUUGGUUUUUUAUAUUUUGUUUAUUUAUUUAUUGUUUUCGAUUGGACGAAAUUGGGCCCUUACAGCUCCCCUCUUUGCUCGUUGUCGUGUAACAAGAAUGGAACAAAGACUUUGAAAAGGUCUAAUUUUGUAUGGUCUUGUCGAAUCUCUACUUCUUUAGUGCUUCUCUUUUUGAACUAGCCUCAUUCUAACCCACUGCAACUUCAAGGGUAUAGGAUUUGUAGCUUUAUCUUGCUCCACUGCAACUUCAGAAGAUAAGAUUUGCUAUAGUAAGUUCAAUCCAACCCACUGUAACUUCAGGGGUAUAGGAUUGUAGCUUUAUCUUGCUCCAUUGCAACUUCAAGAAGAUAAGAUUUGUAGCUUUAUCUUGCUCCACUGCAACUUCGAGAAGAUAAGAUUGGUAGCUUCAAUCUGCUUCACUGCAACUUCAAGGUGAUAAGAUUCGUAGCUUCAAUCUGCUUCACUACAACUUUAGGAAGAUAAGAUUUGUAGUUUCAAUCUGCUCUACUGCAACUUCAGGGAGAUGAGAUUUGUAACUUCAAUCUGCUCCACUACAAUUUUAGAGAGAUAAGAUUUGUAGCUUCAUCUUGCUCCACUACAACUUUAGGGAGAUAAGAUUCGUUAUGGUAGAUUCAAUCCGACCCACUACAUCUUUAGGGGUAUAAGAUUUUUAGCAUCAAUCUAUUUCACUGCAACUUCAGAGAGAUAAGAUUUGUAGCUUUAAUUUGCUCCACUGCAAUUUUAAGGAGAUAAGAUUUGUAGCUUCAAUCUGCUCCACUGCAACUUCAGGGAGAUAAGAUUCUUUAUGGUAUAUUCAACCCAAUCUACUGUAACUUCAGGGGUAUAGGGUUUGUGGUUUCACUAAUCUGUUAAAUGGUUCUCUAGAGAACAUGACCUGUAGAAUCCAUUUCAUAGGCCUAUAUUUAUGCCUAGUGAUUAAGAUGUUAUGAUCAGAAUGAAUCAAAUACUCCUAACUAGAUGUAUGUGAAUGAUAUUUGUAUGAAUGCAGAAAUUCAUUUUCGAGAGCGAUCCCUUUUUAGUGUUUAAGUUGACAUUGCUCAUCAAGGUUUUAUCACUGAUGUGUUACUAUGCCUUCUUGUUCAGAUCUGGUAUCUUGACAAGAAACCUAAAGAAGUAAUCAUGAUUUAGACUAUUUGUUCCUAGAUAUUUCCAACCCUUAGAUUUGGUUAGUUCUAACUAGUGGUCAUGUUUCAAGUCCUUGUACUAUUUAGAAACCUUUUAGAGUAAUAUGCAAAAAUCCUUUUAGUAAUAUGCAAAAAUCCUUUUACUUGAAUAUUAUUAGUCCAUUAAUCAUUAUAAUAUCAAAAUACUUGAAAAGGGUUGUGACAAUAGAUAAUAUUGAAAUUUAUUGGGAGCAAAAGGGCAAAUGGUAACUUCUCAUACCAAUCUUUAUAAGUCUUUGUCAUUUUCCCCACAAUCUUUUUUAAUGUUUAUAUUGGUUGUCUCUACUGCACCAUUCUUUUUUCGGCGAUAUGGUGAUAAGUUGUGAUGUUUGAUCUUGAAUUGACUAUAGACCUCUGUUAUCAUACUGUUGUUUAAAUUCAAUGCAUUGCCAGAUAUAAUCAUUUCUGACAUCCCAUACUAACAUAUGAUCUCUUUCUGCAAGAAUUUGCUGACUGCUAACUUUGUGAAAUUGGCGUAAGAAGUGGCUUCUACCCACUUGGUGAAGUAGUCGAUGACCACAAAGAUAAAGUGAUGCCCAUUGGAGCUUUUGGCGAGAUCAGUUCAGUGACAUCCAUGCUACACAUAGAGAAAGGCCAUGGAGAAGUCAUAACAUAAAGAGGUGAAGGAGGCACAUGAAUUUUAUCUCUAUAAACUUGGCAUUUAUGACAUCUUUUGGCAUAACUGAUACAACCCCCUUCUAUGGUGGACCAAUAAUAUCCGAAUCUCAUGAUUUGCCUGACUAUUGUAAAACCAUUAGCAUGUGUUCCGCAAACACCCUCAUAGACUUCUUCCAAGAUUUUUUUGGCCUCAACAACGUCCACAGAUUUUAGUAGCACCUGAUUCUUUCUUCUUUUAUAUAUGAUCUCCCCAUUUAAGACAUAUUCAUUGGCCAAUCACCUAAGAGUCCUUUUAUCAUUCUCAGUUGCCUGAUCAGUAUAUUCAUGAUUUUUUACAUAUCGCAGUAUAUCAUGGUACCACCGGUGAUCAUCCUUUUCUUCUUCCUCGAUGUUGUAACAAUGGGUCAGAGCCUCGUAAAUACUCAUCUAGAUAGGUUUUACAUCCUCUUUCCUAUUCACUUUAACCAUGGAAGCUAAAGUAGCUAGGGCGUCAGCUAUCUAAUUUUCAUCUCGCGGGAGGUAGCAGAAGGUAAUGUCAUCAAACUCCUUAAUUAACUCAAAGACCAGCCUUCGAUAAUUGGUCAAAUUGGGGGUCUCUCGUCCCCCAUUCUCCUUUGAGUUGAUAGAUCAUUAGUACAGAAUCCCUAUAUAUCUCUAGUACCUUGAUCUUGUGUUCUAUGGCUACACGGAUACCCGUGAUGCAUGCUUCAUAUUCUGGCAUGUUAUUGGUGCAAUCAAAAUCAAGUUUACUGGUGAGAGGAUAAUAAUCUCCAUCCGGAGAUACUAGGACUACCUCGAUUUCGUUACCCAUAGCGUUUGAGGCUCCAUCAAAAUUUAGUUUCCAAGGAUGUCCUUUUUUAGCAUCUUCUUUAGUGGUUGGAACAUACAACAGAUCCUCGUUUGGGAACUCAAAAUUCAAAGGCUUGUAAUUUUCUAGAGCUCUAUUGGCUAGAAAAUCUACUAUUGCACUCCUUUUUACUACCUUCUGAUUUACAUAAAUUAUAUCAGAUUCGAAAAGUAAAAUUUGCUAUCGGGCCAUUUUUCCAUUUAAAGCAGUCGACUCCAUCAUGUACUUCAGAGGGUCCAUUUUUUAGAUUAGCCAAGUUGUAUGGUAUAACAUGUAUUGUCUUAGUCUUCGGGUUGUCUAGAUUAAGGCACAACACAACUUUUCAAUUGACGAGUAUCUUGCCUCACAUUCAGUAAACUUCUUACUAAGGUAAUAUAUCGCUCUUUCUUUCCUUCCUGACUCAUCAUGUUGGUCAAGCACGCAUCCCAUAGAAUCCCUAAAUACUACCAAGUACAGUAUCAAUGGCUUAUUUGGGCUAGGUGGCAUCAGUAUUGGGGCAUUAGUCAAGUAAUAUUUGACCUUGUCGAAAGUCUUCUGGUAUUCUUCAUCUCAUACACUUGGAUUAUAUUUCUUAAGGAGACAGAAUAUAGGGUCGCAUUUCUCGGUUAGUUGUGAAAUGAAUCGUACAAUGUAAUUUAAUCUUCCUAAGAAAUCGCGGACCUCAUUUUGAAUGCGCGGCGGUGGCAACUCCUGUAUAACCUUGACUUUAGCCGGAUUGAUCUCGAUCCCCUUCUCACUGACUACAAAUCCUAGAAAUUUUCCCGACUCAGCCUUGAAAGUACAUUUUACUAGAUUGAGUUUUAGCUGGAAUUUUCUUAACCUCAAAAAGAGUUUCCUCAAGACUUGUUCAUGUUCCUUUUCUAUUAAGGAUUUUGUGAUCAUAUCAUCGACAUAAACCUCGAUUUCUUUGUGCAUCAUAUCAUGAAACAAAGUUACCAUGGCUCUUUGAUAUGUCGCUCCCGCAUUUUUCAGUUCGAAUGACAUUACUUGAUAGUAAAAUGUUCCCCACAUGGUUACGAAUGUAGUCUUUUCCAUAUCUUCAAUAUGCAUCUUUAUUUGGUUGUAUCUGGAGAAUCCAUCCAUGAAGGAGAACAAUGAAUAACCUGUCGUGUUGUCCACUAAGGUGUCGAUGUGAGGUAAUAGGAAAUUAUCUUUCGGGCUGGAUUUAUUUAAAUCCCUAUAGUCUGCUCACAUUCGUACUUUCCCAUCUUUCUUAGGGACGAAGACUAUAUUGGCUACACACUCCGAGUAUUUAACUACUUGUAGGAAACCAGUGUCUAAUUAUUUUUUGACUUCUUUUAUUUUCCACAGGACAUUGGGCCUCAUCCUUUUAAGUUUCUGUUGAACCGACUUACAUUAUUCCUUUAUGGGGAGCCGGUGUACCUCGAUAUCAGUACUUAGACCAGACAUGUCUUGAUACAACCAUGUGAAGACAUCUUUGAAUUCUUGGAGUAACUGAAUGAGGUCUCGCUUUGUCUCUGUAGUGAUGCAAGCUCCGAUUUUUACCUCUUUCUUUUCUUUUUUGUCUCUCAAACUCACAAAUUCUAUUGACUCUUUAUAAGGUAGGAUUUGUUUCUUAUCUUGUUCCAUCAUCCUUAACAAAUCAGAAGAUAGGUUAUAAUCUCAGUCAUUUUCAAAGUCCUAAUGUUCCUCUAGACAUAUAUCCUGUUCAAAAGGAGACUCUGAAUCAGCAGUAGCGUCGCUCGUAUCAUUGAUAUAUGGAGAUCUGUUAUAGGAAUAAAGGAAGACCCCAAAAAAAUAAAUCUAGGAAUAAUUAUCUGUGUCGUAUGAAUAUGAAUGAAAUAGAAAAAUAAAAGGAUAUUUUCCAAAAUGAGACACAAAGAUGCAUUUUAUUGAAAUAAAAAUAGUGGAUAUAUGCAUUUUUCACAAAAGGAUUCUUAUUGCUCCUAGACUUAAAGCAAUAUUUGAACAUUACUCUGAAUUAGUUCUAAAAAUUAUAGGGAUCUCUUCUGUAGUUAAUUGUUUAAAACAUUUCUGGGGAUAUAAGAACAAAUGUAUGAUAAGUUUUAUUGUCUAAUUCAUUCUUUGGAUAUGGCAUUGAUGCUCAGGUUUUCCAACAUUUCUUUCGAACUUUCUUUCUCUAACAUUUUUCGUUCAAGAUAAAUGAUUUCUUCUGACACAAACAUUUUAAAUUUUAUGGGGAAACACCAUCGGUUCUCACUUGACCUCUCCUGACACGCUUUUUUUCUUUCUUGCUUCUUUUUCAGCUCAUUCUUCUUUUGCCUCACAUCUGGCUUGUACCCUAAGUCAAAGCGGUCUUGGUUGUCUAUCAGCAUUAGUGCCUCGGCUCUUUCUUGAAGGUAUUUUCUGAGUCCUCUUCCAGGUAAGGCUCAUUUCCCAACCGUCAACUGCAGGCCCAUCGUUGUGGUUUUAGAUUUUUUUUGUAUUGGAAUCUUCUUUCCUUCAAAAAUGAAAGUUGCAUUAACAAAUUCUAGUGAUCGAGAGGAAUAUUUUAUUGCCUCUUCAUCUGCUCCUAUGUAUGGUGUAUCACUAGUUACGGACGUAGUGAUAUCCUCUUUAGUAUUUAUUGUUUCCAGUUGACCCUCUGUUACCACUUUCAAUUUUUGGUGCAAUGACGACGGCACUGCCCCAGCCAAAUGAAUCCAAGGCCUACCCAAUAAGCAGUUAUAAGAGGUUUUGAUAUCCAUUACUAAAAAAUCUACCUCAUAUGUUUUCGAACCAAUUAAUAUAGGUAUUUUAAUUCUCCCCAUCACCCUCAUUUCUGUACCAUUAAAUGCUCUCACUAUAUUUUGGCACGUCUUCAUCUGAGAGCUAUCCACUAGUAAUCUAUUCAGUGUGGAUAGAGACAAGUCGUUCAGCAUAGAUCCAUUGUUGAUUAACACACCUAGCAAUGUAUAUCCUUUGUAGCGGGUAGUGAUGUGUAGAGCCUUCUUGGAUCCCAUGCCCACUGGAGGUAUUUCAUCAUCAUUGAAAAAGAUGAAAUUGUCGGCACUUAGAUUGUUAACCAAACGGUCUAGCUUGUUUACAAAGACAUCAUCAGUGACAUAAGUUUUAUUUAACACCUUCAUCAACAUGCUACUAUGUGUCUCUCUGAGCUCAAGAGUAAAGCUGUAACACCUUGAUUUUUGGGGUUAGAAGUUUGAGAUUCUAAGUAAGAGUCAAUGAGUAAGUCACGCACUUGGAAUAGUUUGCGUAUUUAAGUGACAGAAUGGGUCAGUUGGUCUGGUGUUUGAGUGAGUGUUAGUGAACCUCUAAGUUCUGGGUUCGAGUCCUUGUGUGUGCGUUUUGGGUAAUGUAUUUAUUAUUAUUAAUAAUGGACUUGUUUUAAUUUUAAAAUAUAAUUAUUAGUUUUAUUUUUAUUAUUUUGGGGAUUUUUACUUUUUUUGGGAAGUUCACGUUCUUUCUUCUUCUCUUGGCUUUUCUUUUUGGUUUUUUGGUUUUUCUACAUUUUCUUUUUGAAAAUGGUGUUUCUUGUGGAUUUUGGAGAGUCACUUGUUCGUCAUCAAGUUGGUGUUUGGACGUCUUUGAUACUGAAUCAAGUGUGGGUUUUGAAACUUUUCUAUUUUAUUUGGAAAUUGUAAAUUUGAUUUUAAUAGAAUGUGGCAAUCUUGGUGUCUUUCAGAAGUUGGUUAUCAAAGUUUGAUAGUACUGUUGACUGACAUGGAAAUCUACUUUGGUUAGUGUGUUUUUGAGUCCCAUCGAUUGAGGGUCGAUUUAGUGACUGAAAAACUCAAUUUUCAAAUUGUUUGUGGAUGGUUUCAUGUCCACACGGGUGGCCACACGAGUAUGUGCCCUCACACAGGCAGGCUAGGGGAUUUUAGUUUAUUUUCACAUGGCCAUGUCCCCUGGUUACAUAGGCGUAUGUGAUUGAAAAUUAGGGAUUUAGUGAUUUGGUGCUACACGGCCUGGCCACACAGCUGUUUGGCUAAUUUAGAGAUAUAGGGAUCCUACAUGGGAGUGUGUUUUGGACACUCGAUCGUUUCUGGUAGGCACACGGGUGUAUGAAACCCUCUCACGGUCGUGUCUACCCUGUACUCUAUUUUAGUUCAAUUGGAAAGUGAGUUACAUAGCCAGUUUACAUGGCCAUGUCCUUAGUUUACACGGGCGUGUGCCUCCCUCCACACGGGCGUUUUAACCCCACAUGGCCUAGGUUUUUCUACACAGUCGGAGCCUAAGGCCAUGUGGUUCUAAGUCACUAAUUUUGGUAUUAGUGUAUUUUUUGUGUUGAUUAUAAUUCUGUGUGUUUUGACCCUUGGCUAGCCUUUAGUGAGGGUCGUUAGGAUUCUAAUCUGGGCUUCGGCUUAUGGGCUGAUUGUGACUAUUGCGUGUAAUGUCUGACUCUGAACUUGGUUUGUUGGGUGUGUAUGUAUAUCCGAAAUUGUCUGAUUGUCUGUUGACAUGUUAUUGUUUCUGUGGGAUUGAAUGCAUACAUACAUUUGUAUAAAGUAAAAUUUUAAGGUUGGUUGUGAAGAGAAGGGAGGCUGAUUCUGAUCUGAUCUGGCAGUUCUACUACAAUUUUUGUGUACAGCUAUUUACAAAUUGUACAGCAUGUACGUCAGUUUGUUGCGUACCAUCAUCUGAUUUGGCAGUUUAAACUACAAUAUGACUGUACAGCAGACUACUGCUUUGCACUAUACUGCAUAUAAGUUAGCCUUGCUGCGUAUUAUAUUUUGAGUGUCUUAGUCCACAUUCUUAAAGUGUAGGGUUGGAUGGGCCUUUCGAGGUUCUAAUUGGAGUGAUUGGUUGGAUGAUCUUUAAAAGCUCUUUUGGGGUGUGAUCGAGGGACGGAGAGGUGUGUUGGCUGGGUGGAUGGAUUUUGGUACUUGACUACAUUCAUGUGCAUCGAUUAGUUGUAAAAUUAUUUGACCGUAUUAUGUUUGUUUGAAUAACACGUGUGUUAAGUGUUUUGUGUGUACUUGGUGUGCUCUUUUCUGAUUGUGUAUUAGGGGUACUGGUUCCUUGUCUGGUAUCUGUUUCUGCUUACAUCUGUAAGUAUGUGUUGUUUUGAACUGCCAUCUAGUUUUCUCCUCUGAAAUCUAUUUUUAACCUUUUUGGAACUCACAUUGAGCUCAUGUAGCUCAUCCCCUUAGUGUUUCCCCUUGCAAGUACGUUUCUGAACUCUGACGCUGGACACAGUAUGCGAAAGUUUCAGACAAUCACGGUUACAAAUAAAAUAACAGUUCUACUUUUGAUUUCCAUUUUGUUAUAUUGUUUUGAACCGUAAGAUUUUUCUAAAACUGUGGUACAAGCUCUAUUUGUUUUUCGUGUAAAUGUUGCUUUGUUCAUAAAAUUAAACUUAACCGUAAUUUUAUGGAUUAAAACUUAGAAGAUUAAAUGUUUUUGGUUCGAAAAGUAAUAAGUAUGAAUGUAAUGGUAUUUGAGAUAAUUUGUUUAGUAAAAUUUCUUACGAUCAUUUCGGUAAUCAAUGUAACAUCCGGGAUUCGGUCUAAACUUCUAAGCCAGGUUUAGGGUGUUACAAAAGCUAGUAUUAAUAUGCGAGUUGGUUGUUUGUGUAGCUGUUCUACAACACUAUACUUGUUAUGCUUCAAAAAUUUCAAGAAUUCCUUAGCCUCGUUCUCAGUUCCUAACUCAUUAAUAGGUGAUUCAAGUUUAGUCAUUUUUUUCUUUCUUAUGUUCAAUUGCUAGGGUUUUUCCUUUAACGAGCUCAGUUCUUACAUUUGCAGGGUCAUAGCUCCUCUUACUCGCAUGAAGAAACCAAUACUCUGGCCAUUUUCUGAAAUGCCAACCAAGUUUUCCUCUCCCUGGAUCAUCAUGUUGCAAUCAUAAUUCCAUGGAACCCUUUUGCUAUCCUUGUGGGGAAAAGCCACGGGUUUCUGAAUUAUGACUUUUGGCAUAACUUGGGCUCCCACUUCAUUACUUCUCGAUCGUGAAAUAAUCAUCACUGGGUGGUUGACCUUAUAAACUUUCUCCAUGGAUCCUUCCUCUAAGGCUCAAACAUCACCUCUUUCCAAACCUUUGACAUCUACGAAGAAUUCCAAUUCUUUGUUAUCCGUAAGACUUUGCACUAGAGCUCUGAACUCAACGUACUUUUGGAUUUCAUGACCUUCUUUAGCGUGGAACUCGCAAUAACUCCCCACUCCUUUGGGAAUCCCUUUUAAAUCUUGAAUGAUUAAUCUCGUGUCUAUUAUUUUUUGCCAAACCAAUUUUAGUAGGGAUUUCACUUCCACAACAUCGAUUUUGGUCCUCUUUCCCCCAUUCUUGAUUAUCGCAUUUACCCUUGGUCAGAAUGAUUGGGUAAUAGAUUUCCUGCCACAUUAGGUCCCGAUGGAUCUUCGAACCUUACAAUCCUCAUCUUAAUGAACCUUUCGAUCAACUUCUUGAAUGUAAUGCGAUUCUCAAUCGAGUGUCCCGUAAUUCGCGUGGUAUUCGCAUUAAGCAUUCGCAUCAUACCAUUUUGGAAACAGAGGGUGCAUGGGUUCUAAGUAAUACAGGGAUAUCACAUGUGUGUCAAACAAAUUCUGAUAUAACUCUCUAUAUGGUAUCGAGAUAGGUGUGAAUUAGAGUUUUUCCGUGUUUGGCUUUAAGUUAGAUUCUUGCUUCGAAAGGCCCUGAUGACUAGUUGUCAUGGUCCUCAGUUGGCCUACAGUGACCGAUUUUAAAUAGCUUUUAUUACACAUACUCGUGGUGUUUACUUCAUUUUCUUUUUUUCUCGGAUUAGUCAUUUUAACGUUUUUUCCUACGUCUAUUUUCCCACUUCUUACUGCAUUCUCAAUCAUUUCUCUAAACAUUACUAUAUCUGAGAAGCUCUUAGUAGCACUUCCCAGCAUAUGGCUAAUGAAUGGGGCUUUCAGUGUGUUUAUGAAAAAUAUUGUUAUCUCUUUCUCCAGAAGAUGUGGCUGAACUUCCAUUGCCACCUCUCUCCAUCUCUGAACGUAUUGCCUAAAGCUUUCACUUUGCUUCUUCUCCAUGUUUUGCAGCGUAAUUUGAUCGGGUGUCAUGUAGGUUACAUGGUUGUAUUGUUUUAUGAAAGCCUGUGCCAAGUCUUUCCAUGAGUUGAUUUUGACACGGCUUAGCUGAUUGUACCGUUUGGCAGCCGACCUGAUCAAACUAUCCUAGAAGCAAUGGAUUAACAAUUGGUCGUUAUUGACAUAUCCCAUCAUUCUUUGGCAGAACAUUGUGAUAUGGGUUUUAAGAAAACUAGUCCCAUUGUAUUUUUCGAAUAUUGAAGUUUUGAAUUUUAGUGGGAGCACUAGAUUUAGAACUAAACUCAAUUUCUUAACAUCGACCCCGCAAAGGUAAUCAAUAUACUCCAUAGCUCUAAAUUUCUCCUCCAACUACUUGCACUGAUAUUCUAGCUAUUUUGGUAAUUCUACUCUUGUUCUAUCCAUUUUUUCCAUGUCGUCCAAAUCUAAAACGACAAGGAUGGUCGGAUUAUCUUCGGGAUUAGAGCUUGAACCCGUUGGGGAAUUCACCGGUGCAGAGGUGCCAGCCUGGUAUUGUUGUGGUCUUAUGGUAACGAAUACCCUUUGUGGAUAUGUAUCUGGUUGGGCUUGGACAUUUACUCGGUAAAGCCUGGGGUUAUAUAAGGUCUUCAUAAUCAUCCUUAGAGUAAAUCAUAGUACUUUUCCCUUUUUUAAUCCUCCCGGCCAGCAACUGGGUCAACUGGCUUAUCAUGCUCCGUUGGGACUCUUGUAUUUGAUCCAUCAUGUCUUGCUAUACCUUAGCUAAUAGGUCCUGCAGCUGCGCUUGCAACUAAUCUUGCAUGUCUUUUGAAUUUGUUCUAAUCUCUCUAAACUUUGAUCCAUGACUUUGGUUUUGCCGCGGGUACCGUAAUGAUAUUCAGUUGGUAGAUUCUUGUUGGUUUCCAGGGUAACUGUCAUAAUUUCGAGUAAUUAGGGUCUUUUUAAAAAAUUGAAUGCAUUUGAUGAAACAUAAUACUGAGGAAUGAAAAAUGAAUGUAAAAAGAGGCAUUGAUUCUAAUUCAAUUCUAUUGGAACAACUUUACUAGAAAACAAAUUUUUUUUCAUAAAAUAGAUACAUUUUACAUAUACGGUCUUGCUCUAAUACUCAAAGCCUUGACUUUCCUAAGAAGCCAAGCUAAUUCUUGGCCCUGAUCUGAUUUUGAUUCAUAUCUUAAGCUCAGCAUGUCAUCUUGAACCAUUAGGGUUUGCAAAUGAUCGGCUACUUCCCGUACUUGAGUCACAGUUUCGCCCAUGAUGUGAUCUCUAUCCCUGAUCUGACCUUGAGAGCGUUGGAGUUGUUCUUUCCAAUGUUCAUUGUUUAAUUCAAGAAGCUCAAUUUAAAAUUCACAAUUUUACAGUACGGCCUCGAGCUCUUCUAUCUUUCCCUUCAACUCUUCAAUCUUAAUUAGGCUUGCUUUCAACUCAAUCAUAGAUUUACGACUACGAUAUUGAUGCAACGACCUUUCUAAUUCUACUACCCGAGCUCUCAACCUAACCUUUUCAUUUUGGCUUUCUAGCAAAUCCCUUUUUAGAGCGUCUUCUCGCACUCGAGCAUCUUGGAAUCUCUUUUCCACUGAUCAGCUCUAAUAUUUUCUUCUUGGAUUUCUAGCCACCAUUGUUUCGAUGUUUUACCCAACUUGACAGUCCUUAUUGACAAACGCAGUUUCUUAUAAUCUGUUUUUAAACUGUCCAAGUAUUUCCCAACCUUGUUUUUUCCUUUCUUUUUUUUUCUCGACUUCUAACUUCUGAACGUCGACAUCUAAUCCUAGCUAAAUCUUUUCCUUUUCCAACUUUUUUAUCCUUUUCCUUAGCUUCGAACUCCACUUUUCAAAGUCUUGCUCUACGAUCUCUAACUCAAACGGGAUCACUUGUAAGUGUUCUUCUAUUGACCGAGUGUUUUCUUGACUUGACACAGGGAUAUUGUUAUUGAUUCGUUUAUCCCACCACCAAUUAUAUUUGGGGGUCGUCAUGGGAUUUACGGAAAAUCUUUUCAUUUUGUGAGUUUGGUUCCAAGCGUUCAAUAUUUCACGAACUUUCUUAUUGUAAUUAUCACAUUUGUACGCAAAUUCACAUUGAGCCAGCCCUUGGGUUGUCAGUUUAAACUGCCUCGACCUAUACUACCUCAAUACAAGUAGAGGGGCAUAUGCAACAGCUCCUCAUAUCCCGAGCAAAAAUACCUAGCCGAAGUCUCCACAUCCGUAUAAAAUUUCAUUAGGGAUCAUCUAAGGGGCCAUGCAUUCAACAUUUUUGUCUUGGAGACUCUAGAGAAUUGCCAUUCACUUUUUUUCAGAACUGUUGUCUCGUCUUGGAAUAGCCACGAAUUCUUUUAACGGAGAGUAGUUUUCAAAGAACACUCGAUAAGAGAACUUUUCUACCUUCCAGAAAUGGCUAUGUGUAACGCCCCUAACUAGGCUGUUACACUAUGGAACCAAGCUAACAAGAGUUGUGCACACCUGAUAAAUCUUCUUUCAUUUUAAAAGUUUCAGCCAAAAUUGUCGGAACAGGCAUAACCCUUUUGUCAAGCCAGUCAAAUAGAUCUGAAACUGCAACAUUUAUGCACCCUAGUGCUUUGGGAAAAAUGACUAACCCGUAAAUACUCAAGGCGAAGACAUUGACUCUUUUCUUCGUAUCUGAAUGUGCCAAGAUCAAUUCCUGCGAAUUUUUCCAAGGGAUGUAUCUGCUAUCUCCUUUUUGUUUAAUUCGAGCCGCAACCAAUUGCUCGCUCCUCCCAGUUAUGCUCAUUAGCCUCUUUAAAAAAUUUGAGACGUUGGUAGCUCUAGAAUAAGCUUUGUUGGCUUGGAUCAUCGGGUAAUGGAGAAAAGCUGUGUACUUUUGUACGAUGGGCACCAAGUUUACCUUCCCAAAAGUGAAGCAGCCAUAGGUGGGAUUCCAAUAUUGGGCAAGAGCUCGAAAUAAGUGUUUAUCCACUUUGACAUCAAGUAAAUAAGGCAAAUCACCAUAGUCACGUUAGAAUAACUGCUUGGUUUUGUCAUCCUAUUGGUCCCACAUUUCUUUCAAAUAUUGGAGAUUAUUUUGAGUUACACUGAUGCGAGUGAAAUCCUAUAAUUCUGACAUGCACCCCUCUGUCAAGCUGUUACCCUUCUCUUGCUGUGUCUUCUUGAACCAUAUUCGUAUGGCUACAUUGUCUUCCACUUUAUCAUGAAAUCAUUUUUCCAUGACAAGCUCUCUAUUUAGCAAUUGAAUGCGAAUCAACACCCUUUUCUAUGAUAAAAAUGCAAUGCAAAUAGAGCCAAAACAAAACGAAACUAGUCAUUACAUUUCAUAUAGAGCUAGAAUACAAAGCAAGAAAUAAUAAAUAGAACAUCUAUCCAGGUGACCACUAAAGGUUUGAUAUGGUUCUACCUAGGGUAGGUUUUUAAGGUUUGUUAUAUGCGAUUCAAUUCUAAAGUAAGGGUACCUAAACUAACAGAUUCUUCAAUCCUCACCCAUUAUAGGCUCAUAUGGACCAAGUUCAAUUUAAGGGAAUACAUUUCCCUAUGGCUAUAUAGAGGUGAAGGCCUCACAAAGGAAUAGCUUCCAGUUCCCACUUAAAGAAGGUAAAAUAGAACGAUUGUGCAAUGCAAUAUAUGUGAAAACAUACAAAGUGAAACUCUCGAACCAAUAAAACAGAUGUACUAGAUCGCUAUGUAACUCGAGAUAUCAAAGACAAAAUAUGAAGGAUAAAAUGCAAUAAAGGGAUUGUUAAUUUAAACCAAAUUAUCAACUUUCGACAAAAAGACCAAAAAGUAAUUAACUCAUUGUAACAUCCUGAAAUAGGGCCUAGUCAGAAUAGUGGUUUCGGGACAAUAAAUUCGACAUUAAAAUAUUUACUUUAUGAUUAUUAAGAGGCCUAGAAUAUGAGUACAUGCAUGUGUUAAAGUUUCAUGAAGAAAUUCUUUGAGUAAGGUGUUCAAUCGGAAAUUAGGGACUAAAUUGAAUAAAUUGUAAAACUUGAAUUCUAGAAGAAAUUUGUAUGAAAUUGCUUUGGGUUAUGAAUUAGAAGGUCUUGGAGAUCAAUCCUCCCAAAUCCUAAGUUUUUGGAAAAAAAAUGGGCUUGCAUAGCUGAAAUUUUAAGGAAAGGGUUUAAGGGUAUUUUGGUUAUUUGAAAUUUUAAUGAAAUAAAAUGGAAAAAAAUGAACCAAAAUAAGCCCAUUCUCUUCCUUGUCCAGCUCAAACUUCAAGGGUUUCCAUAGAUAGGGUUUUCAAGCUUUCCAAGCUCAAUAGUAAGUGCUCACAAGCCCCGUUUUUCACGCUCUAUGUAUUUUUGAAAUCCUGGUAGCUUGCUCUUUCCAUUUCUACCAAUAUUUCAUGCUAGAGUUCAUGUUUAAAAAUUUACCUAUAAAUGAGUUGCUUGUAUUUUGAUGGAUUAUGGAGGAAUAUGAAAGAUGAAUGUGUAUUAAGCAUCUUUUCCUAGUUGACUUUCAUGAAAAACCCUUACAGGGACUAUUUUGCAAAAGAUAUAAAUGUGUGGUAGAAAUGAGAAAAUAAUGGAAAAUUUGGGCUACCAUAAGAAGUAAAAGUGUUCGACUAGGCUUGGGUAAGAUAGAAAGUGCAUGUGUUUCAUUAUACGAGCCUAGGGACAAAAUCAUAAAAAUGUGAAAGGUUAGGGGCAAAAUUGUCAUUUGGACCGGGGGUAGAUAUUAAACUUGAAAUGUAUAAUGUAGUGUAUUAAUGUGUUAAUUUUGUUGUUAUAGACCCUGAGGAACAAAUUUCGGAGGUCGAUCGACGUAAAUGCAAGGUUUCAAAAUAACCGAAACACAACUCCGAAAAGAAUACCAGGUAAGUUCAGAUAACUUAAAGUAAACCCCUAAUAUGCAUAAUUGAAUGAUUUAUGAAUGCAUGAUGAUUGCAUUUAUUAUUAGCAUGAAAUAUCAUAAAAAUGCAUAUUUGAUGGUAGCAUGUGAAAAAUGUCUCAAAUGAGGUUGACAAAGGGAAUUCGAUGGAUAAACCCUCAUUGAUAUGUGUAAAGAGAUCCUGCAUGUGUUGCAGUAAGGAUUUAUCCCGAACGGGUAAUCCAUGAUCUCAAGUAUGAAAAGGAUCUAGCCCGGACGGGUGUUCCUUGAAUGAUCAAGCCUCUCGAAGAAUAUGUUUGCAUUAUGGAUUUAGCCCGGACGGGUAAUCCAAUUAGGGUCUGAAUUUACCUGGACUAGUAAUUCAGAUCCGAGCUCAUUAAGGGUGUUUGUCGUGAUAAGGGAUUUAGCAUGGACUGGUAAUCCCGACAUCACCUUAUGAGUUCAUGAUAUGGGAGAUUUAGCCUGGAUUGGUAAUCCUGCCCUGAGAUGUGAGAUUCGUGGGAGUGCAUAUAUUUGAAAUGAUCAUUCGUAAAAAUUGACGGAUAAUGGGUAUUCCAUCGAGAUUUCCUAGAAACUCAAAGGAUUAAUAUAAUGGAUGUCAAUAAGAUGAUGAAUGAUAAGCUUAUCUACAUAAAUUACAUAAUGCUUUGUUAUGUAACUAACUCAUUGAUUGAGUGCAUGUGAUAGGGAAUCGUUUCAUAAUUGAUGAUUUCAUUAUUUGAAUAUGAAUGUAUGCUAAUUACUCGGUAAGUUUACUUUCCGGUUAUUCGAGCUUACUAAGCAUGUAAAUGCUUACCCCUCUUUUAUUUUUUCCUAUCUCACAGAGCUCGAGGACUCGAAAGGAUUGGAAGACGAUUGGAGAGUCAACACACUAUGUAAUACCCCCACCCGUAUUCAUUGCCGAAAUAGGGUACGAGGUAUUACCGGAGUUUACGAGUUAAAUUUUUUUCAAUAUAACCCCUUUUAUAAAUAUCUAACCUUUCCUGAAAUUUUAAACCAAAAAUAAUCCAUAUCAACCAACCUAAUUCAACAUAUUUUCAAGAUAGGUUAUCGCAUAUAUAUUCACGCAUCUUUAUAAGAUAACAUCAUCGCAUACCAAAACCAAGAUUUGUUAGCCAUACCAUUGGCUGACCUUACAUUCAUUUCACAGAAUCAUUUACUUUAUUAGCUUAUAAAUGCCAUUGAUUUCCAAAAUAAAGUUUUUUUUAUAUACCGAAAUCCUGAGGUUGAUAGUGUGAUGCGUCUCCAACCAAAUCCGACCUCCAAGCUCUUAACACUACAAAACAGGGGAAAAGGAUAUAGGGUAAGCACUUUGUGUUUAGUAAGCUCAUGUGACAAGAAUUAUACUUACCUAAUGUUUUCAAUACAAUACAAUAAACAUUCAUAUAUCCAUUCAAUGCAUUAUUACCCUAACAUGCACAAACUCAACAUUCAAGUUAGUACAAUAGUUUCCAUGUACCAAUAAUAUAUACUAUGAUUGAUGAGCUCAUCAAUACUAGGAUUUCCAUUUCCUUAUAUAUUUUUUUUCAUAUUUAUCUCGUUGAAUUCCUUGAAAUUUUCGAUGGAUUUUCAGAGGUACACUUUUAGUGUACAUUUUCGGGUCCGUCAAUUCAUAUUCGUGUGCGCACAUUUCCAUUUCAGAUAGCACACUCCCGCGAACCUCAUCCUUUCAACGGGAUUACCAGUCUAGGCUAAAUCCCCUGUAAUAUAAACUCAUAUAGUAUUGUCGGGGUUACCAGUCCAGGCUAAAUCCCCUGUAACGACAAUUACUCUAAUAAGCUUGGAUCUGAAUUACAAGUCUAGGCUAAAUUCAAACCCUAAUUCGGAUUACCCGUCCGGGCUAAAUCCAUCUUCCACAUAUUCUUCGGGAGGGCUAUAUCAGGAUAGGAUCACCCGUCCGGGCUAGAUCAUUUUUACCGUCAAUUCCUUUUCAGAGAUCCAUCAAAAUUUCCUUUCAUUCAACAGGGAUUUCUUCCCCUUUUUAUCAAAUAUAUCAAUGUUUCAUAAAUUUUCAUAUAUAUUCACAUCAAUAACAUACAUUUCAAGCAUUUAAGAAUAUAAUUCAAGUUACAUGAACUUACCUUGAUACUUGUUCGUGUACAAAAAUUUACUAAUCUUGAACUUUUUCCUUUCCCCGAUCUAGCUUCGUAUUUGAAUCUUCUGGAUCUAAAUAAAUAAAUUUAAUUAUGAAUUUAAUACAUUUCAUUUUCAUAUGCAACAAUUUUUAUAAUUUCAUUAUUAUUGUUUAUAGUUUAUUCAAAGCUGUCUAUUUGAGUCAUAGUCACUAAAUUAUUUAUAACUCAAGCUACGGAACUCCAAAUUAAGAUCCGUUAAUUUUACCUGAAAUUAAACUCACAUAUCUUCUUAACAUAAAAUAUUUAUAAUUUUUGGUUUAACCAAUAAGUACAUUUUAUUCUUUAAAUUCACCCCUAUUUUGCUGUCGCACAAUUCUGACCCUUCUUCAUUAAAAAUUAAUUAUCUCUGCAUACAAAAUUCAGAUGAUGUUAUUAUUUGUUUAUAUUGAAAAUAGACUCAUUCAGGAUUCUAAAAAUAUAAAUUUAAGCCCCUAAUUAUUUUUAUUAAAUUUUUUAUGAUUUUUCAAAGUUAGAACGGGGGAACUCAAAUUCAUUCUGACCUUGUCUCACAAAAUUCAUUAUAUCUCAUGAUUUACAGAUCCAUUACUUACACCGUUUCUUCUAUGAGAAACUAGACUCAAUAAGAUUUAAUUUUAUAUGUUUUUCAUCUUCUAAUUAGAUUCCUAAAAUUUAUGGUGAUUUUUGAAAGUUAGUCUACUGCUUCUGUCCAAAACUGUUUUAGUGCAAGAUGUUUAUUACCAUUUUUCCCUUAAGCUUUUAAUAAACAACAAUUUCGUCCCUGCUCAAUUAGCCUCUCAAUUGAGCUGAUUUUUCUCAAUUAACACUUUAUUCUAUCACCUCAAACUAGCUUACAACCUUUAGGAAUCAAAAUUUCAGUAAUAGACUUUAAUUCCGAACAUUUUCACAAUUAGGUCCUAAAAAUCAAUUUCUAUUGAAAUUACCUAAUAAAAUCAUCUCAUAAACAAAUUAAAGCUUUAAUUUCAUUCUAUUUCAUCAUAACAUUACACCACUCAACCAUGGUGACUUUCAAUUUCAUCCAUGAAAUCAAAAACUAAUGAAUUUAAUAGUAGGACCUAGUUGUAAAAGUCUUAGAAAUACAAAAAUUACAAGAAAAAGGCAAGGAUUAACUCACUUGGUGAAAAAAUUAUGGAAUACCGACUUAGCGAACCCUCCUAUGGCGUUUUUAGCUACUGGAAUUGAAGAAAAAUGAAGAGAAAUCUAGAUAUUUCCUAUUUAGUCCUAGCUUUAUUUAAUUAAUUUUGUAAUAUUCCAAUUUUACCCUUAAUUUAUCAAUUUUCCUGCUGAUUUCAUGCCUUUUUCGUCCAACCCAAAUAAAUUUUGGGUCUAAUUGUCUUUUAAAUCCUCUCUCAUUAGACACUUAAGCUAUUUAAUCAUCCCAUCCACUUUUACACCUUUUACAAUUUAGUCCUUUUCAUUUAAUUAACUAUCCAAACAUUAAAAUUUCCUAACGAAAUUUUAAUACCACAUUACUAACAUUUCAUAAAUAUUUAUAAAAUUAUUUUCGACUUGGUCUUAAGAGAUAGUGGUCCCGAUACCUUAUUUUACCCAAUUUCUUCAAUAAUUUCUUUUUUUAACUAACCACUAAAUCGGUAAAAUUUUUCUAUCAAUAUUUUCAUAUGAUUUUCUUAUCAUAUCAAUUUUCAUGCAAAAAUAUUGAAAUAAAUUUCUCUUUAAACGGAUUUGUGGUUACGAAACCACUGUUUCGAUAACUUUGAAUUUAGGCCAUUAUAACUCUCCCCCGCUUUAAGGAUUUUCGUCCUCGAAAAUCUUACCAGUAAAGAGAUUUGGUUAUUGUUUCCUCAUUGCCUCCUCCGGUUCCCAUGUCGCUUCCUCAAUCUCGUUCUUUUGCCACAAUACUUUCACCAAAUUUAUCUUUUUAUUUCUAAGCUCUUUUGUCUCCCGUGCCAAUAUCUUGACCGGUUUUUCACUGUAAGUCAUAUUCGGUUGAAUCUCCAUUUCUGUUGGAGAAAUAACAUGUGAAGGAUUUGAUCGAUUCAUCAUAACAUAGAUACAUGAAAAACAUUAUGGAUUCUAUCAAGUUCCGGUGGUAAUGCCAAUCGAUAAGCGACCGGUCCAAUUUUUUCUAUGAUUUGAUAUGGCCCGAUAAAUCUUGGAUUCAGUUUACCCUUUCGACUGAAUCGGAGGACUUUCUUCCAAGGAGACACUUUCAGGAAUACCUUGUCACUGACUUGAAAUUCAAUCUCUUUUCGUUUAAGAUCGGAAGCUACUUUUAGACUAUCCCGAAUAACCUUUACUUUUUCUUCUACUUCCCGGAUCAAAUCAACCCCAUGUAUCUUCCUUUCACUAAGCUCUGUCUAAUAUAACGGUGUUUUACAUUUUCUACCAUACAAAGCUUCAUACGCAGACAUUUUAAUACUGGAUUGAUAACUAUUAUUGUAAGCAAAUUCAAUCAAAGGUAGAUACCUCUCCCAAUUACUUUCAAACUCUAGUAUACAACAUCGAAGCAUAUCUUCCAAUACUUGAAUUACAAGCUCAGAUUGACCAUCUGUCUGAGGAUGAAAUGUAGUGCUGAAAUACAACUGAGUACCCAAGGCUUCUUGCAAUUUGUCCCAGAAAUGAGACGUAAAUCGGGGAUCUCUAUCUGAUAUAAUGGAGAUAGGCACUCCAUGUAGCCUGACAAUCUCAGAUAUAUAUAGUUCAGCUAGUUUAUCUAGAGAAUAAUUCAUACGUACCGGAAUAAAGUGCACUGACUUUGUCAAUCGGUCAACAAUCACCCAAAUAGCAUCUUUUUUCCUUGGAGACAAAAGGUAAUCCCGAUACAAAAUCCAUAGUGAUUCUUUCCCAUUUCCAUUUCAGUAUAGUAAUUUGCUGAAGUAACCCCGAAGGUACUUGAUGUUCAGCUUUAACUUGCUGACAUAUUAGACACUUUGAUACAAACUUAGAGAUAUCACGUUUCAUUCUCGACCACCAGUACAUCUUUUUUAGAUUAUUAUACAUUUUAUUACUCCCCGGAUAUACAGACAUAGUACUGCUGUGAGCCUCGCGUAAAAUCUUCUGUAUGAGCUCUAAAUUCUGAGGUACACAUACCCUACCUCUGAAUAACAAACAACCAUCAGAACCAAUCUGAAAUUCAGAAUCAUUACCUGACUCACACUGUGCCCGUUUAACCUGUAACUUCUCAUCAUUCUUUUGAGCUUCACAUAUUUGCUGUAAAAAUUUCGGUUUAGCUCUCAAUUUAGCUAUGAUUGAACCAUCAUCAGUCAGUGACAACCGGGUAUUCAUAGCUCGUAAAACAAAUAGAGAUUUCUGGCUCGAAGCAUCAGCUACAACAUUAGCUUUACUCAGAUGGUAAUCAAUAAUCAAAUCAUAGUCCUUUAUCAGUUCAAGCCGCCUGCGCUGUCUCAAAUUCAAAUCUUUCUGUGUCAACAAAUAUUUCAAGCUUUUAUGAUCAGUAUAAAUAUGACAUUUCUCAUCGUACAAGUAAUGCCGCCAUAUCUUCAGUGCAAAUACAAUAGCAGCUAAUUCAAGAUCAUGUACUGGAUAAUUGCUUUCAUGUAGUCUAAGUUGUCUUGAAGCAUAGGCUAUUACUUUACCUUCUUGCAUCAAGACACAACCUAAACCAUUUAAUGAGGCUGUAAAUAACAAAUGCCUUACCCGGUUCAGGCUGCACUAAUACAGGUGCUUUCGUUAGUAGAUCUUUCAAUCGGUUGAAACUUUGCUGACAUUCAUCAGUCCACUCGAACUUUACAUAUUUCUAGUUCUGAAGGCUAUUUUUGGCACGUCUGACUCCUUUACCCGUAACUGAUAAUAACCUGAUCGAGGAUCAAUCUUUGAAAACACAGUAGCACCUUUCAGCUGAUCAAAUAAAUUAUCAAUCUGGGGUAACAGGUACUUAUUCUUUUUGGUUACUUUAUUAAGUUGUCGGUAGUCGAUACACAAUCUCAAAGACCCGUCUUUCUUUUUCACAAACAGAACCGGAGCACCCCAAGGUGAAUGACUCAGUCAAAUAAAACCCCUGUCAACAAACUCUUGCAACUGUGUCUUUAACUCCUUUAAUUCUGUAGGAGUCAUCCGGUACGGAUCUAUGGAGAUCGGAGUAGUUCCCGGAAUCAAAUCUAUAGAAAAUUCCACUUCUCUUUCUGGUGGCAACCCUGGUAAUUCCUCUGAAAACACAUUGGAAACUUCACAUACUAUUGGCACUGCCUGUAUCCUUGACUCAGAUACCUUUGUGUCGAGUACAUAAGCCAAGUAAGCAUCAUACCCUUUUUUGACUUACCUCUGUGCUGCCAUUACUGAAAUUACAUCAAAUAACCCCUCUUUCUGAUUAGAUUUAACCCGAAGUAACUCACCAUUCUGACAUUUUAGCACAAUAUAUUUCUGUCUACAAUUUACUACUGCAUCAUGCUGGGUUAACCAAUCCAUGCCCAAUAUCACAUCAAAUUCAUCAAAUGACAAUAACAUCAAAUUAGCCGAGAAACAAUAACCUUUUACCACAGUGGACAAUUUUUACAAAUUUUAUCCACCAAAACAGAUUGACCCAGGGGGUUCGAGACUUUAACCAUAAAUUCAGUAGGUUCAAUAGAUAAAUUUUUAAUAAUUGCAAGUUUAACACAUAUAUAUGAAUGCGUAGAACCAGGAUCAAUCAAUGCAGUAAUAUCAGUAUCAAGUAAAGAAAAUGUACCAGUAAUAACAUCGGGUGCUGAGGCAUCUUCUCUGGCACGGAUGGCAUAUGUCCUAGCAGGUGCUCGUGCUUCAGACCUGCCUGCAAUAUCUUUCGUAGCUCCUCGGCUACCACUGACAUUACCAGAUGGUCGAGGUAGUCUACCCCUCGAAACUAGAUUGCUUAGCUUCGAUAUCUGCUCAGCUUCUUUUUCACCUCUUUUUGGACAAUCUCUAAGGAAAUGGUCGAAAGAACCACAUCGGUAACAAGCCCCACUCUUAAAUCGGCAUUCACCAAAAUGAAUUUUAUUACAGUACUGACAUCUCGGCUUAGGGGUACCAACACUGCCAACACUAGUAACUGAUGGAGUGGAAGGUCUUGGAUUAGUGCGUUGGGAACCUCGCUCUCUGCCCGAAUACCUAGUGGCUAAGGUAGAACGAUCCUGAUACUUCUUCAAUUUCUUUGAAGCAGAAAACUGGGAUUUUCCCAUCGGUCUUUUACUAAAUAUUCGAGCUUCCCUCUCAGCCUGUUUCUUUUCUUUGCUCAAUUCUUCUGCUUUAUAAGCUAUCUCUGCCAAUGUAGCAAACUCUUGAAUUUCAAGAAUUCCGAUCAGUAGCUUAAUGUUUUCAUUCAACCCUUCUUCAAAUCGUUUGCACAUUUCAACUUCUGACUGUACCCAUUCUCAAGCAUAUUUACUCAAUCGAACAAAUUCUCUUUCAUACUCAGAUACUGAUCUGUUACCCUGUUUCAGCUCAAGAAAUUCUUUUCUCUUCUAAUCAAGAAACCUCUGACUGAUAUAUUUUUUUCUGAACUCGGUCUGAAAGAAUUCCCAUGUAAUUUCUUCUUUCGGAACAACUGAAGCUUUAGUAUUCCACCAAUGGUAAGCUAUGUUUUUUAGCAGUAAGACGGCAAUUUCAGACAUUCUUUUGGUGUACAAGAUAAUUCUACCAAAACCCGAGUAGUGUUUUCUAACCAGAAUUCAGCCCGUUCGGAAUCAUCAUUAACUGCUGUUCGAAAUUCUUUGGCCCUAUAUUUUUGAAUUUUAUCUACUGGAGCUUUCCCUUUUCUUACAGAUUCAGUACUUGUACCCUGUGGGAUCUCAGGAACUGGGAGAGAAGCAGAAGGGGGAACUUGAACUUGCUGCACUACAGGGUUAGUUCUUAAGUAUUGACUAAACCAUUCAUUCAUCAUUUGAAAGAAGGCUCGUUUUGCCUCCUCCCCUCGAUCCUCUGUCUCGGGCCUUCUACUACUAGUUUCUUCUCUUUGUACUGAAGCCGGAGCAUGACUCCCAGCUUCCUCAAAUUGAGCUCGGUCGGUAGACAUUUACUAUAAGAAAAACACAUUUAAAUGGUCAGGAGAUAUCACACUAUCAAUAAUAAUUUAAAUGGCAUGUAUAGCUAAUCCCGUAUUUGCUACAUCGAUCCUAGAACCGGCUAAAUCGUAGCUCUGAUACCAACAAAUGUAAUACCCCUUACCCGUAUUCAUUGUCGAAAUAGGGUACGAGGUAUUACCGGAGUUUACGAGUUAAAAUUUUUUUUCAAUAUAACCCCUUUUAUAAAUAUCUAACCUUCGCUGAAAUUUUAAACCAAAAAUAAUCCAUAUCAACCAACCCAAUUCAACAUAUUUUCAAGAUAGGUUAUCGCAUAUAUAUUCACGCAUAUUUAUAAGAUAACAUCAUUGCAUACCAAAACCAAGAUUUGUUAGCCAUACCAUUGGCUGACCUUACAUUUAUUUCACAAAAUUAUUUACUUUAUUAGCUUAUAUAUGCCAUUAAUUUCCAAAAUAAAGUUUUUUUAUAUACCGAAAUCCUGAGGUUGAUAGUGUGAUGUGUCUCCAACCAAAUCCGACCUCCGAGUUCUUAACACUACAAAACAGGGGAAAAGGAAAUAGGGUAAGCACUUUGUGCUUAGUAAGCUCAUGUAACAAGAAUUAUACUUACCUAAUAUUUUCAAUACAAUACAAUAAACAUUCAUAUAUCCAUUCAAUGUAUUAUUACCCUAACAUGCACAAAGUCAACAUUCAAGUUAGUACAAUAAUUUCCAUGUACCAAUAAUAUACACUAUGAUUGAUGAGCUCAUCAAUACCAUGAUUUCCAUUUCCUUAUAUAUUUUUUUCAUAUUUAUCCCGUUGAAUUUCUUGGAAUUUUUGAUGGAUUUUCAGAGGUACACUUUUAGUGUACAUUUCCGGGUCUGUCAAUUCAUAUCCAUGUGCUCACAUUUCCAUUUCAGAGAGCACACUCUCGUGAACCUCAUCCUUACAGCGGGAUUACCAGUCCAGGCUAAAUCCCUGCAACAAAAAUUACUCUAAUGAGCUUGGAUCUGAAUUACAAGUCCAGGCUAAAUUCAGACCCUAAUUCGGAUUACCCGUCCGGGCUAAAUCCAUUUUCCACAUAUUCUUCGGGAGGGCUACAUCAGGAUAGGAUCACCUGUCCGGGCUAGAUCCUUUUUACUGUCAAUUCCUUUUCAAAGAUCCAUCGAAAUUUCCUUUCAUUCAACCGGGAUUUCUUCCCCUUUUUAUCAAAUAUAUCAAUGUUUUAUAAAUUUUCAUACAAUGACCUUUCAAAUCAUAUUCACAUCAAUAACAUACAUUUUAAGCAUUUAAGAAUAUAAUUCAAGUUACAUGAACUUACCUUGAUACUUGUUUUUGUACAAAAAUCUAUUAAUCCUGAACUUUUUCCUUUCCUCGAUCUAGCUUCGUAUUUGAAUCUUCUGUAUCUAAAUAAAUAAAUUUAAUUAUCAAUUUAAUACAUUUCAUUUUUAUAUGCAACAAUUUCUAUAAUUUCAUUAUUAUUAUUUAUAGUUUAUUCAAAGCUGUCCAUUUGAGUCAUAGUCACUAAAUUAUUUAUAACUCAAGCUACGGAACUCCAAAUUAAGAUCCAUUAAUUUUCCCUGAAAUUAGACUCAUAUAUAUUCUUACCAUAAAAGUUUUAUAAUUUUUGGUUUCUCCAAUAAGUAUAUUUUAUUCUUUAAAUUCACCCAUGUUCUGCUGUCUAAUAGUUCUGACCCUUCUUCACUAAAAAUUAAUUAUCUCUUCAUAUAGAAUUCAGAUGAUGUUCCUGUUUGUUUCUAUUGAAAAUAGACUCAUUCAGGAUUCUAGAAAUAUAAAUUUAAGGCCAUAAUUAUUUCUAUUAAAUUUUUUAUGAUUUUUCAAAGUCAAAACAGGGGAACUCAAAUUCAUUCUGACCUUGUCUCACAAAAUUCAUUAUAUCUCAUGAUUUAUAGAUCCAUUGCUUACACCGUUUCUUCUAUGAGAAACUAGACUCAAUAAGAUUUAAUUUCAUAUUUUGUUCAUCUUCUCAUUCAAUUCUUAAAAUUUAUGGUGAUUUUUUAAAAUUAGUCUACUGCUGCUGUCCAAAACUGUUUUAGUGCAAGCUGUUUAUUACCAUUUUUCCCUUAAGCUUUUAAUAAAUAACAAUUUCGUCCCUACUCAAUUAGCCUCUCAAUUGAGCUGAUUUUUCUCAACUAACACUUUAUUCUAUCACCUCAAACUAGCUUACAACCUUUAGGAAUCAAAAUUUCAUUAAUAGACUUUAAUUCCAAACAUUUUCACAAUUAGGUCCUAAAAAUUAAUUUCUAUUGAAAUUACCUAAUAAAAUCAUCUCAUAAACAAAUUAAAGCUUUAAUUUCAAUCUAUUUCAUCAUAAACUUACACCACUCAACCAUGGUGACUUUCAAUUUCAUCCAUGAAAUCAAAAACUAAUGAAUUUAAUAGUAGGACCUAGUUGUAAAAGUCUUAGAAAUACAAAAAUUAUAAGAAAAAGGCAAGGAUUAACUCACUUGGUGAAAAAAUUAUGGAAUACCGACUUAGCGAACCCUCCUAUGGCAUUUUUAGCUGCUGGAAUUGAAGAGAAAUGAAGAGAAAUCUAGAUAUUUCCUAUUUAGUCCUAGCUUUAUUUAGUUAAUUUUGCAAUAUUCUAAUUUUGCCCUUAAUUUAUCAAUUUUCCUGCUGAUUUCAUGCCCUCGCCGUCUAGUCCAAAUAAAUUUUGGGUCUUAUUGCCUUUUAAAUCCUCUCUCAUUAGACACUUAAGCUAUUUAAUCAUCCCAUCCACUUUUACACCUUUUUCAGGUUAGUCCUUUUCAUUUAAUUAACUAUCCAAACAUUAAAAUUUCAUAACGAAAUUUUAAUACCACAUUACUAACAUUUCAUAAAUAAUUAUAAAAUUAUUUUCGACUCGGUCGUACGAGAUAGAGGUUCUGAUACCUUAUUUUACCCAAUUUCUUUAAUAAUUUCAUUUUUUAACUAACCACUAAAUCGGUAAAAUUUUUCUAUCAAUAUUUUCAUACGAUUUUCCUAUCAUAUCAAUUUUAAUGCAAAAAUAUUGAAAUAAAUCUCUCUUUAAACCGAAUAUCUGGUUACGAAACCACUGUUUUGAUAACAUUGAAUUUAGGUCAUUACACACUAUCAGCUAGACAAGCUUUGGUAUAAAGACUUUGUUUGUUUUGUUCAAUGGCAUGUAUAGUAUUUUUGAGUAUUUUAUAUGUGUCAUUUGAUUUUCCAAAUGAAGGCAUGUAAAAUAAUAUGUUUAUCUCUUUGUAUAUGGCCACGAAAAUUGGAUUAAUUGAAGUAGGCUAUGACCUACGAAUUUAUGCAUGGUUUUAUUUACAAGUGAUGGGUCGUUAUCAAUUGGCAAUUAGUUACAUGAACGAGUCAAUUUCGGAUGAAUUAAAGUGACAUGGGAAUCCAUAAACACUAAAUGGGAAAUAACCUAUUAUGUAUUGAACCAAUGAUAUGAGGUUUUCAUACAUCUAGUUUAAUCAAAAUUAUUUUCAAGUGUAUAAUUGUAUUUUAUUUUGAAUUUGAUAACCACUAAGCACAAGUAGUAGCAAGGGGUGGCUAAAGGCUUGGAAAAUAGCCUAUUAGAGUCCACAUGGUUAGACACACGGGCGUGUGCUAUGGUCGUGUGUCCCCUGCACUUAAAAUUUUAACUCAAAGUUGUACAUGGGUAGGCCACACGGGCGUGCACCAUAGCCGUGUCGAAAAGACAGUGUUGUCCACGGGCAGGCAGCACGGGUGUGUGCCAUGGCCGUGUUGAUAAGUCAGUGUUGCCCACGGCUGAAGGGCAUCGGCGUGCCCCAAGUCACAUGGGCGUGUGAGUCCACACGGCCCAUAUACACGGGCGUGUGACCCUUUAUGAUAAAGAAAAAUUUCCUAAGGAGCCAACUUAAAAUUUGAGUAAAACUUGGUGACCCAAUUUGGUACGUUUCAAAAUGUAAAGUCCUGGUAAUGCUUUGAACCCUAUCCCGGUGUCGGGUACGAUUGAGGGGUUUUACAUUUAUUGGUAUCAGAGCUACGGUUUAGUCGAUUCUAGGACUACCGUAAAGGAUGUUAAAGUUUGCUAUACAUGCCAUUAUUCGAAUGUUGAUAGUGUGACAUCUUCUAAUUGUUUAAACUAUUUUGAAUAUAGUGAAUGUCUUCCAAUCAAGCACAAGAUGAGUCCGAGAGAGCCGAAAGCCAUGCUUCAACUUCCGUACAGUGAGCUGUACUUAGUAGUAGUAGAAGGCUCAUGUCAGAAGGCUGAAAAGAGGCCCGAUCUCUCUUCUUUGAUAUGAUGGAUGAAUGGUUUGGGGAUUAUCUGAGAAAUCGCCCCAAUACACCAAGACCUCUUCCGCCCCUAACCAACCUGAUGAGGAUGUGCCACGAGGUAUGGCACCAGUGAGAAUCAGUAAAGCCUCUGUAGAUAAGCUUAAAAAGUAUGAGGCUGAGGAAUUCAGAGUUAAAGUUGAUGAUGACGCCGAAAGAGCCGAGUUCUGGCUCGAAAAUACUACACAGGUGCUAGAUGAUUUGUCAUGCACACUAGAGGAAUGUUUGAAGUGUGUUGUGUCCUUUUUGAAGGACACUGGAUACAAUUGGUGAAAGAAUGUAUCCUUGGUAGUGCCAAAAGAAAAUAUUACUUGGGAUUUCUUCCAAGCAGAGUUUAGGAAGAAAUAUAUUAGCCAAUGGUUUUUGGACUCGAAGUGAAAUGAGUUCCUGGAACUCAAACAAGGGAAUAAGACUGUAGCGGAAUACGAGAGAGAGUUCGUACGACUAAGUUAGUACGCAACUAAAUGGGUUCAAACUGAAUCAAAAAUGUGUAAACGCUUCGAGGAAGGUCUGAAUGAGGAUAUCAAGUUGUUGAUUGGGAUCUUGGAAUUACGGGAGUUUGUAGCAUUGGUCGAUCAAGCCAAGAAGGCCGAUAAACUUAAUAAUGAAAGAAAACAAGCUAAGAGAGAUGCUCGAGUUGCAAGCAAGAGGUCUAGCGGUGAAACACUCUCGUUCUCCACAUAGAAAACCAUGAGCCUACAUGAAUGCUCCACUUUGUCUGUGGGAUAUUGGGGUAGAUCGAGAAGCUCUAAACGACAAGGUCAAAAGCCUUUUUCCCCGAUGGUGACUAGUGUGGGGAGUGUAGAUGAUCAAAAACUGAAGUGUAAGAGCUGUAACAAAUUUCACUUCAGAGAGUGCCGAAUGAAAAGCAGCACAUUUUUUAGAUAUGGUUCUCUUGAUCACUUUCUCAGAAACUACCCGGAACGAGCCGAAAAAGAAGUGGAAAUAGUUCUGAAGUCGAGUGCUCCCAUUCUACGAGGUAGACCUCUGAGAUACCUUGGGAGUGCUAGUGGCAUUCGAGUCGGGACUAAAGAUGCUAUAAAAUUAGAGGUUUGAGCCCCGAUAAGAAUGUAUGCGAUACGUGCUCGAGAGGAAGCCAAUGAUCCUGAUGUUAUUACGGGUACUUUCUCUCUUUUUAAUAUAAGUGUUGUUGCAUUAAUUGACCCAGGGUCGACGCAUUCAUAUAUCUGCAUGAGAUUGGCUUCUAGUAUGAACUUAACUAUUGAACAUACGGAAGAUAUUAUUAGAGUGUCAAACCUACUAGGAUAUUAUUAGAGUGUCAAACCUACUAGGCAGAUCAGUUCUAGUUGAUAAAGUCUAUAAGGAUUGUCCUUUGACGAUCCAAGGUCGUUGUUUCCCGGAUAACCUUAUGUUGUUACCAUUUGAUGAAUUUGAUGUAAUACUUGGUAUGGAUUGGCUAGCCCUUCAUGAAGUAACAGUGAAUUUUGGAAGUAAGUAUAUUAAGUUAAAAUGCCCGAAUGGUAAGAUUCUACGAGUCGAAUAAAGAGAAUUGGGUUUGUCAUCGGUUGUAAUCACGGUAAUGGUUGCCCAGAGAUAUAUGAGGAAAGGAUAUGAAGCCUACCUUGCAUUUGUACUGAACACUAAGGAAACAAACCUAAAAAUUGAGUCUAUGCCGAUAGUAUGUGAGUACCCAGAUGUGUUUUCGGAGGAAUUACCUGGAUUACCUCCUGAAAGGGAGAUAAAGUUUGGUAUUGAAUUGGUGCCAGGGACGACUCCCAUUUCUAUUUCCCUGUACAAAAUGGCACCUACUGAGCUGAAGGAGUUAAAAGCAUAGUUGCAAAAACUGAGGGAUAAAGGAUUUGCUAGGCCAAGUUUUUCACCUUGGGGUGCCCCUGUGUUCUUCAUAAAGAAGAAAGAUGGUUCAAUGAGGUUAUGUGUCGAUUAUCGGCAACUGAACAAGGUGACUAUCAAGAAUAAGUAUCAUUUGCCAAGGAACAAUGAUUUUUUUGACUAGUUGAGUAGAGCCACCGUAUUCUCCAAUAUAGACUUGAGGUCUGGUUAUUAUCAGCUGCGAGUUAAAGACUCGAAUGUACCCAAGACAUCUUUUAGAAUGAGGUAUGGCCAUUAUGAAUUUCUUGUCAUGCCGUUUAGGCUAACGAAUGCACCGGCUGUGUUUAUGGAUCUAAUGAAUUGGAUUUUUCGGCCAUAUUUGGAUAAAUUUGUCGUUGUGUUUAUUGACGACAUUUUGAUCUACUCUAAAGAUGAGACAGAACAUGCAAAGCAUCUGAGAAUUGUGUUGCAGACCUUGUGGGAAAAGCAACUGUAUGCUAAGUUUAGCAAGAGUGAGUUUUGGCUCCAAAAAGUUAGAUUUUUGGGUCAUAUAGUUUUGGGUGAAGGCAUCCGAGUUGAUCCAAGUAAGAUUUUUGCAAUUGUUGACUAGAAAUCGCCUAAGAAUGUAACCGAUGUUAGAAGCUUUUUGGGCUUAGCCAGUUACUAUCGAAGGUUUGUACAUAAUAGCGACUCCGAUGACGAAACUGCUACAGAAAGACGUUAAGUUUGAAUGGACAGAGAAGUGUCAACAACGUUUUGAGAAGUUAAAGACAUUACUGACCGAAGCUCCUGUUUUAGUGUUACCUGAACCGAGAAAAGAGUUUGUGGUCAACAAUGAUGCAUCCUUAAAUGGAUUGAGUUGUGUGCUUAUGUAAGAUGACAACCUGACAGCCUAUGCUUCACGGCAAUUGAAG